UUCACAUAAGGUGAGUUCAUACCCCUACAUUUUCAUGUUUUCUUCAAGUUUUAAGGGGGGGAAUACAAGUUAGAACACUAAACAUAACUUAAAUUUAAAUGAUAGCUUUCUACAGAAAAGUUGAGUCCUGUUCACGGACUGUUUUGACCAUCUUAAACUUAAUAUCUUUCAAAACUGUACAAUAUUCAAAUAGUUCAACUUUAUAACUUUCUAAGGACUACACGCACACACUCAUAUAAUUUUUCUACAAUUUAUGGCGAUAUUUAGAAAACCGCCUGUCAUUUCAGAAGUGAUUUCGGACUAGUGUGUGAAGAUGUUCAUUUCCACACUAGUUUGAGACCACUAAAAAUCAUAAUAAAAAUGAGGAACAAAGUAGACUCAUUUUAUAAACUCUCAGAUGUGACGGAUUCAGUUUUUGACUUACGAUGAUUUUUCUAUGAGAUUUCUAAAAACAGGGACAGUAAAGGGUAAAACUGUCAAAAGUGGUUUAUAGAUUUAUUAACACCUUCUAACAUUUUUGAGCAAUGUUUAUACAUUAAGGAAGUUAAAACACAAUCAUUUAAAUAUGUUUAAUUACCAUUUUUACAAAAGUGAUAAGUACAAAAAGGUCUUUAGUAUCAAACUUAAGGAUUAUUUCAUGCAAAGUUUCUAAUAAAAACGUAAGAAUAUGAACAACAAUUACGAGACAUACCAAAUCAUCUUUUAAAAUUUAUACAUAUAUAUAUCCAUAUACAUAUAUAUGUUUUGUUUACAAACUUGUCUUCUACAUCAAAAAUAUACAUAUAUAGUUUACGAAACUCUACUCCAUUUGUAUCCUGUUGAGCAAAGGGUAAAAUAUUGUCAAAUGCAUAUCUAAAGAUUUCACGUCGUUUUUCAUAGCUAUCCCAGUCUUAGGGGAUGAUCAUUUAUACAAACAUUUUCAACACAAAAACACGUAAACUCGUUGAAAAAAUUUAGUGAGUUUUGUCUUCACGGUACCUUAUAAAGUACACACGAAAGUCCUGUUAAAUAUAACCAGAGUCUCUUGUAGGGAGAGCGUGAUAGUUGUGUAUAGAUCUAUACUGGGACCGACAAUCCUGCACUUUUGCUGCUUGCAACAGCUAAACCGGCAGGUCUGGGUGUGACAAAUGUCAUAACGAAAUCGACACCUGAAGAACGUUGCGAACAAGGCAGUCUGGGUCAAUCAAGCAUGGUUAUAAGAUAAAAAUUAAAACUCACAUAAAACAACAACGACACUUUUAGUUUACGCAAAGACAGUCUUCAAACAACUUUAUAUACAAACAAAACUGCAUAACAUCAUUUUAAGUAGGAAAAUUACUUAUACGCUUCGGUCUUGGUUCAUUUAAGGCCGCAUUUCAGUUUAGGGAAAAUAUAGGAUUUUCCGGAAAACAAACAUUUCUACAUUUCAUAGAAAAGGUUUACAAAUAUACAUACAAAUGCUUAUGAACUCACCAACUUAAAUGUUGAUACUCUCUUUUCAAAUAACUUGUAUUCUCAGGAAAUCAGUAAAUAAGGUAACAACUGGCGUUGAGGAUGGGACGCUUAGGCGUCUAAACAAAUCUUUUGACAACAUAUUGUAAUUGGUAUUUUGAAACAUGUAAUACGUACAAAUGAUGUAACUUUUUUAGUUAUAUAUAUGUUGGUUGUGUUUGCUUUGAACAUUUAUACUCAAUUGUUAUGAUACACUAUAUGAUAAUCUCCCGCCCCUAGACGUUUCCGCCAUCCUGGUUUGGGGUGUGACAAAUUGGUAUCAUAGCAUUGUUUAUAGUGAGCUAAGUAUAUCAAACCAUAUAUGAUAUACAAACUAUAAAUACAUAAGGACUAAAACUCUUUGACUUAACAAUUUCAAAACAGGAACAUUAGGGGUCCUUUGCUGGUAAGUCUAUGUUUGCUAAGUGGAUACGUUAAGGUGGUAUAUACUAAAGGUUUUAUAGACUUAGAAUUUGUGAUUUUCACUUUACUUCCUUUUCCUUGUUUGGAUGUGGAUAUAAGUUAAGAUCACUUACUCGACUGACUAUUUAAUCUUGACUGUAUAUGACCAUUAUACACAAGCAACCAUAGAAGGAACAGGAAUGGACCGAGAUUUCAUGAAAAAUGUAAGUGCAUACAAACAUACUAGUAAGGAGUCAUAUUGGUAACAAAACAAAAAGUAUUUAGAUAAGUUAAACACUUCGAGUAAGCCUCGGGGUAUGUAAUCAUGUCUGGGAUGAAUAUAGCCUGAUCAACUAUAUUUAUCCAAGAGGUGACCAACGUAUGCCGAGGAAUGGUCGUAGUUGAUGACGAGUCUAAAACUUACCAACAAACCAUGCAAAGAAAUCUUUAACAUACAAAUUUAAAAUACUAUAGGAGUAUUUUGCGUUACUAUAGAACCACACACUUAGAUUCUUCAUAUACUUCUUACCCCUAUUCUCGCAUAGGCAUAUCAGCUAGACUUCAUCUCCACAUAGACCCCUACUAUCCUGCCACCGCAGCCAACAGAUGGAUCAAGAAGGAUCCAGAAGAACAUUCCGGAGAGUACCAAUAGAUGUAAUACGAGGAAGAAGAUUUCUGAGAAGGGACCAGAUGGAGAAAGAAGUUCGGGAGAUACCAUCAAUAAACCUUACCCUAUCAAGAGGAGUGUAAGAACCUCCACCUCUUAUUUUAGAAAGCAACCCGCAAUUGACUACCUAGCCACCCAUAUAUACUGGAGAGGAAAGCCGACGAUCCACAACCGACAUAAACUCACUACACCGUACUUUGGGCCAUAGCACCCACAUACCGGCGAGCAGAUCAAGAGAACAAUACGAAUCACCUACACUCCUUAGAAAAGGAGAUAGCAUUUAUAGGACAAAGAACCCUUACAGCUACAACCAGGACAAUCAUCACAGAACAGAGAACAUAGGAGGCCACUCGCGAAAUAGGUAAAAUGGAAGAGCACCUUGUACAUCACUUUAGUAUAUGUCAGACUAGUAUAGCCUAGUGAGUUAGUGACUACACUACUCACACUAUGUGUUAGACUAAAUGCAGUUUUCAUCAUAUCUGGUAGUUGAAAUUCAAGUGAAGUAAAAUCCCCUAGAAACCCACGAAACACGAACCAAAUUAAGGUUUUUAUAACCUAUUGACCCAUGUUCAAAUCCUGGUACUACUCAGCCCUUGUGGCCAUGGAGGUUUGCCUGCAAUGACUCCAGGGCAUGAGACAAAGUCUCAUGUUUGCAGCGGGGGAUUAGUCGGUGCGCGUAAGCUGGCCCGGAAACCCUCGUUAGGGAAGUUCCCUUUCCAAAAAAUUUAAGGUUUUUAUAUCUAUGUUCUGUCUAAAUAACUUAACAUUUGUAUAAUACUUACUACUACUCACUACCAUAAGUAUGUCACAUGGGUGUUGGCUGAAAAACAUUAACAGUCGCACAACAAAACAUGAAAUUUAUGUGUACAUAUAAAUAUAGAUGGAAUACAACUAACAAUAUCUAUAGUUACUUACGAAACUAUUUCACACCUUGCAAUAGAAUCAUGCCGACACAUGAAGGUAAUCAGCAUAGCGGCGCAACACUAGUUCUACAAAUGGACUCUGCAACAUUUCAAAUUACGGUAAUAGCCGCCGUGACAGCAGUCAUGUCACACCUCGAUGCUAACAACACAAACAAAAGCGGGAAUGGCGCCGCAAGUUCCAAUCGUAAUAAAAAACAGGGACACCCUCGAGUAUGUUCCUGCAAGGACGCCCCAACUUACAAACCUGAGAACGUCCACGACAAUGAAGGAGUACUACCCAAGAAACGAAAGUUCUGGACCAGGAGAAAGAGCCGUCCGAAUCAAGGACCUACCAAAAGACAACAAACAGUGAUAGUUUAUAUCACCACCAUCCCUACUACCUCAGUGCCAACAAGACCAUAUGUUGGAAACUUGCCAAAAUGCACCAAGUGUAGCUUUCAUCACAAAGGGAAGUGUAGGGAAAUGCACUGCAAGAAAUGUAACAAAAAGGGGCAUACCACAAAUUUCUGUAGGGCGCCGGCUCAACAGGCCGCCGAAGACAUAAAAGUUGGGAUGAGUCGGACUUGCUAUAGAUGUGGAGAAGUAGGGCAUUUCAUAAAGGAGUGCCCAAAGAAUAAAAACAAAUAUUUCAGGAGCGUCGGAAGUGUUUCAGCAACAGAGCGUGGGAAAGCAAUAAUAGACCCCGCUGAGAUUCCGGUACGUUCAUUAUCGAAAGCACAUAUGCAUGUAUACUAUAUAAUAGCAAUGCGGAGAGGAGUAUUGUGAGUCGUAGAUUUAAUAAAUUUCUCAACCAAAAACCUCAAACACUUAAACGAAAUAUGUACAGUAGAAUUGGAAUAAUCAAAACACUAGAUACAUGUACAUAUGGUGCACUCUAACACUAAAUCAACCAAUUCGUUUAAAUCAUCCUAAAACCGGUCACAAUAAAAAGUUACGGCGUUUUCAUUUUAACAACGCAUUAGUUAGUUUCCUCACCAUAUCAAUAUCAUAUAUUAGGAAAGGUCGUUCGCCUAAACCCAUCGAGUAACAAAACCCUCAUCUUCUAUGGCGACAAACCGGACACAAACCCUAGACACACCUUUUACAUCAAGACUCAGAAGUACCUACUAAGGAGGUACUACGCCGUCCUAGCCCGCACUGUGGAUAAGAAACAAGAAGAGAAAGACAUCAGUGAUGUUCCAAAAGCCCGUAAACUUCCCGAUAUAUUCCCAGAAGAUCUCCUGGGAAUACCAUCCGUACAGCAACUCGAGUACAAAAAUCGACUUAAAUGCAGUAGCUGUGGAAAAUGGUUGUUGUAAAUUCCAUCUCACCCAAGUUCACCCCACUCAAGUAGAGACUAUGGACCCAUACUAGUGAAUCUAUGAUUACUAAGUGUACAUAUUGGAACCCUAUAUAAUUAAGAUUCUACGGACUUAGGGUUGGUAAUUCUGCUUUAAAUCCUUUUCCUUGUUUGGAUGUGGGCUUAGAAUAGAAUCACUGAUUCCACUGUCAUUUCAAUCAUAAUUAUAUACGACGUAUAAACACAAAGAGAUGAUAGAUGAAUCAUUUAUGAGUCAUACCAUGAACUCCAUGACAAGAUACCCAUGACAGCGGAUGGACACACUACCACUUGAGCAAUCGUAGACAAAUCAACCAAACCCACACACUUUCUACCGACCAAGGCUACAAAGAAAAAUAUAAAAGCGGCAUGAGCAUAUCACAAGAUGAUUGCGAGACUGCAUAGUAUACCACUAUCUAUCAUUUUGGAUAAGGGACAAGUGAUUCGCCUCGUGUUUUCGAUAUUCGUUAAAGAAGACCUUAAUAUCACCCUCAAACUGACAGACAAAGCGGAAGAACCAUUCAUCGAAUCCUUAUACAACAAUAACUAAUACAUUAAUAUCAAAGUCGCGUCAUUCAAAGCUCUCUACAGAAGCAAGUGUAGAUUGCCUCUGUGCUGGGCUGAGGUAGGUGACACACAACUACCUAAGGGACAAGUUCCUAACAACACUCUCGCCAGCCCCCAGAUCAUACGAGAAACUAUAGAGAAGAUUGUUCAAACCCGUGAACAAUUGAAGCCAUCCCAGGAUCCGAAGAAGAACUUGUCUGAUGAGACUCUUGUUAUUCCACUUGACGAAAUUGAAGACAACGAGAGUCUAAACUUCAUCGAAGAACCGGUGGAAAUCAUGGAUCAGGAGGUCAAAAGGACGAAACAAAGCCGCAUACCCAUAGUGAAGGCCCGUUGGAACGCCAAGCGAGGACCUGAAUUCACCAGGGAAUGCGAGAAUCAACUAAAAAAAAAGAAACACCCUCAAUUGUUUAGUGAUAUCCCGUCUACAAGUUAAAUUUCGGUGCGAAAUUCUUUUAAUGGGGGGAGAAUGUAAGAAUUGGUAAAAAUAGGAACGAUCGUACGAUGCUAUGUUUUGAUUAUUAAGCAAUAUGAGUAUUUUAUCAAGAAUGGUUGAAGGAAUUUAACCUCUUUUAUUUAAAUAAGUUCUUCUGAAAUAUAUAACAAGUAACUAAUGAUAAAUUUUGUUAUGAUGUAUGACUACGAACCAUCAGCGGUUUGUGAAAAUUAGCAUAUAACAUCAUUUGAACGCAACAAACUUAAUUUUUGUAUCAACAUGUAUCUAGUUGAUAAUUAAGUUAGGUUAUAUGUAAAAGUGUGCUUAAUAGUUGUGGAGGAUCUAAAUUUGAAAAUAUACAAACUAAAGUGACAAAACGUGUAUAACGAUAUGGUUUACCGGUUAAAUGUCACGAAAUUAUACAUUGGUCAAUAAUUUUUAUAUUUAAAUAAAUUAAAAUAUAAAAUGAAUUAUUAUAAGGUAUAAUUAGAAUGUAUUUAAGUGUUUUUGAAUAAAAAGAAUAAAACAUAAACAUUAAAGUUCAAAUACACAAAAACUACAUUGUUAUUUUAUACUAAGUAUACAUGUAUGUAUUUGUAUAUAUGUAUUAUUAUCUAGUGAAUGACUAGUUAUGGGUCAUGACUUAAAGUGAUUUCAUGUAAGUUUUAUGAUGUCUAAAUCAAUUAAGAUAAGAGAAUUGGUGGAGAUAAGUGCCAACUUAACUAAUAAGUGCUUAAUCACUUAAGACAUUUUACUAAGAAUGCUUAUUAAUCCCUCUUCUAAUUUUCGAGAUUAAGACCUUCCCUCUCCUUAACUAGAACUCCUAACUAACUAAAUAACUAGUAGUUAGUUAGUUAACUAACUCUAUCUCUAAACAACCACCCAAGCAAGUGGCUAGACAAGAUCACAUCACUUAAACUCACAUCCCAUCACAAGCUAGUCUAGGUUUUGUCCCCUUAUCCUCUUCCACCCUUUCCUCCUUCAUAACCACGAAAUUUCCUCUUCAUUUUACCCUCAUUUGACCAGCCAAUACUCCAAGUAAUUACUCUCAACCUUCAUCUCAUUUUCAAGCACAAGAACUUCCUUCCAAAGCCAUCAAAACCAUGAACUAAAGGGUUGCUGUCCCUUUUGUGUUUCAGCCACCAUUUCACCCAUCUACACCUUCCUUUUGCUUGAUAUUUUUACCACCAAAUACCCCUGGAAGUUACUUGUUUUGAUACUCAAAAUUAUUGAUUCAAAACAGUGAGUAAACUACCCUUUUUCUUGCACUUUUGCUGUGAAAUUUUCGUGACAGCAACAUAGCCAAAAGAGUGGCUGUUUUGGAGCAUCAAACCAACAACCAAAAGUUCAUCUUCAACUUUCCAUUCUUCAAGUAUUCACAUAAGGUGAGUUCAUACCCCUACAUUUUCAUGUUUUAUUCAAGUUUUAAGGGGGGGAAUACAAGUUAGAACACUAAACAUAACUUAAAUUUAAAUGACAGCUUUCUACAGAAAAGUUGAGUCCUGUUCACGGACUGUUUUGACCAUCUUAAACUUAAUAUCUUUCAAAACUGUACAAUAUUCAAAUAGUUCAACUUUAUAACUUUCUAAGGACUACACGCAUGAACUCAUAUAAUUUUUCUAAAAUUUAUGUCGAUAUUUAGAAAACCGCCUGUCAUUUCAGAAGUGAUUUCGGACCAGUGUGUGAAGAUGUUCAUUUCCACACUAGUUUGAGACCACUAAAAAUCAUAAUAAAAAUGAGGAACAAAGUAGACUCAUUUUAUAAACUCUCAGAUGUGACGGAUUCAGUUUUUGACUUACGAUGAUUUUUCUAUGAGUUUUCUAAAAACAGGGACAGUAAAGGGUAAAACUGUCAAAAGUGGUUUAUAGAUUUAUUAACACCUUCUAACAUUUUUGAGCAAUGUUUAUACAUUAAGGAAGUUAAAACACAAUCAUUUAAAUAUGUUUAAUUACCAUUUUUACAAAAGUGAUAAGUACAAAAAGGUCUUUAGUAUCAAACUUAAAGAUUAUUUCAUGCAAAGUUUCUAAUAAAAACGUAAGAAUAUGAACAACAAUUACGUGACAUACCAAAUCAUCUUUUAAAAUUUAUACAUAUAUAUAUAACCAUUUACAUAUAUAUGUUUUGUUUACAAACUUGUCUUCUACAUCGAAAAUAUACAUAUAUAGUUUACGAAACUCUACUCCAUUUGUAUCCGGUUGAGCAAAUGGUAAAAUAUUGUCAAAUGCAUAUCUAAAGAUUUCACGUCGUUUUUCAUAGCUAUCCCAGUCUUAGGGGAUGAUCAUUUAUACAAACAUUUUCAACACAAAAACACGUAAACUCGUUGAAAAAAUUUAGUGAGUUUUGUUUUCACGGUACCUUAUAAAGUACACACGAAAGUCCUGUUAAAUAUAACCAGAGUCUCUUGUAGGGAGAGCGUGAUAGUUGUGUAUAGAUCUAUACUGGGACCGACAAUCCCGCACUUUUGCUGCUUGCAACAGCUAAACCGGCAGGUCUGGGGGUGACAAAUGUCAUAACGAAAUCGACACCUGAAGAACGUUGCAAACAAGGCAGUCUGGGUCAAUCAAGCAUGGUUAUAAGAUAAACUUUAAAACUCACAUAAAACAGCGACAUUUUUAGUUUAAGCAAAGACAGUCUUCAAACAGGUUUAUAUACAAACAAAACUGCAUAACAUCAUUUUAAGUAGGAAAAUUACUUAUACGCUUCGGUCUUGGUUCAUUUAAGGGCAAAUUUCAUUUUAGGGAAAAUAUAGGAUUUUCCAGAUAACUUGUAUUCUCACCAACUUAAAUGUUGAUACUCUCUUUUCAAAUAACUUGUAUUCUCAGGAAAUCAGUAAAUCAGGUAACAACUGGCAUUGAGGAUGGGACGCUUAGGCGUCUAAACAAAUCUUUUGACAACAUAUUGUAAUUGAUAUUUUGAAACAUGUAAUACGUACAAAUGAUGUAACUUUUUCAGUUAUAUAUAUGUUGGUUGUGUUUGCUUUGAACAUUUAUACUCAACUGUUAUGAUACACUACAUGAUAGUCACCCGCCCCUAGACGUUUCCGCCAUCUUGGUUUGGGGGUGUGACAGGUAGGGUCCGUUUGGUAUACAAAGUAUACUGUUUGGAAAUCUCACUUCAAACAUAUCGCUAAAUCCAACCUAGACAUCAUCUCCUUAAGUAGAUCAAUCAGUAAUAUGAUGUUGGAUUUAUUCAUAAAUCUUAUUUAUAAAUUCAUAACAACGACUAUGAAUUUUAAUAUAAAUUACGCUAAAGUAAAAUAGAGUGUAAUUUAACUUACAGAGAUUCCCUAGACAAAAGUAUAGAAAUUUCACUAGAAGAGCUUUUACUCGAUGGCUACUACUUAUGGGGCACUCAAGGGUCACAGGGCUCUGCCGGUAUAUUAGUAACUAAGGUAAAAUGGCAAUAAGUCAGAGAAUAUCGAGAGGGAAGGCAUGUAGGGGUGAGAUACGAAAAUCUUGCAUAGAGGAGAGUAUAUAUAGCUAAAAAAUGCAUUGUGUGUUGUGCACUAUGUCGGGGGUGGUGACGUGGCGUUCAACUAGUAGUGACAUGUGUCACAAUCUCAUGGGUUGUCAGAUGCACAUCGUUCCUCUUGUCUGUGUGCGACUGCGACUAGAUUUUUAUAAAAUCUUAGAAAACUCAUAUCUUCACCAUACAAGUUCCGUUUUCAAUGUGGUUUAUAUCCACGCGUAGCUAUCGACAUGAUCUGCAACUUUCAUUUAGACUCCAUUGGCUAAUUUUGAUUUAUUUUUAAAGUUAUAUUUUUAAUAGGCUUAGACUGUUAAUGUCCGUUAAAAAUUCAUAACUUUCUUUUCGACGCCCGUUCUUGACUAUCUUUUUGUCAACGAACUCCUAUUAACGAGAUCUUCAAUUCUCAUUUAGAUUGUUUUGGCUAAAAAUCAACAAAAUCUAAAAUUUGAUAUAUGUGCUAACACAAUUACACUGAAAUAUUAGAAAAAUCUUAACUUCCUCUCAUGAAGUCUGAUUUAGAUGUUCUCUAGAUGCACACUCUCGGGUUUACGGUUAAUACAACUUUUGUUUAGAUAAUAGAGGCUAAUAAGAGAUUCGCCUCUAAUUCAAUAUUUACGACACUCGAUGUCGUAUCGUGUUGAACGUAAAACUUCAACGAAUCAUGACUUCUUCGAUACACGUCGGAUUGGAGCAUUCCUUAUAUCUUUGGGAUUCUCAUCACGACUACUUUCUCCUUCAUCAAGGAUAUUCAUCCUAAUUAUUACUCUAUUUUAGAGAUGUAUUUUAUUCAUAUUUUAUUACAUCAAUUUAAGCACGUAUACUACAUAUAAUUAUACAUAAAUCACAUAAUACUCAAAUAAUUCUCUUUAUUUAUUUUUAGAAAGGGUUACAAUCGUUGAAUAUUACAAUUACAUCAUUUUAUUAAUGUCUAGCGAGAAAUGUGGGCGUUACAGUUAUCUCCUCCUUAGGAUGAUUUCUUCCAUCAUGAAUCAACAAAUAGAUGUGGAUAACGAUUUAUUGUGUCGCCCGCUGUCUCCAGGGUGAGGUUUGGCCCAUUCUUGUGCUUCCGUCGCACUAUUACUAAUUAAACCAUCAUACGUCUUAACUUCUCUAUCUUACAGUCAACAAUCUCUUCAGGCUCUUUAAUUACCCUCUUAUUCUUAUCGAUCCUUAACUCCGUAAGCAGAAUUAUAUCAGGAGCUUAUCCUGAGAACUUCCUCAAAUAACACACAUGAAAAGUGUUAUGAAUACCCUCCAAUUCUUUUAGCAAUUCCAGCUCGUAAGCUUGGUUUCCAAUUCUCUGAAGAACUUUAAACGGUCUAAUGAAUCUUGGAUCCAACUUUCCUCAUUUUCUAAAUUUAAUAAGUUCCUUCUGUGGAAGGACUUUGAGCAACACCAAAUCUCCAACUUCGAAAGUCAUUGGUCGUCACUUCUUAUCAGCUUAGCUCUUUUGAUGAUUUUGUGCUGCUAGCAUCCUUUCCCUAAUCACUUUCGGUUUCUCAGCAGUUUGAUAUACUAUCUCUAGUCCUACAUACUGGUUCUCUCUAGCUUCAAGCCAACAGGACAAUGUACGAUAUAUUUCACCAUACAAUGCAUGCUAAGGUGCCAUGUUAAUGCUCGAAUGGUAACUAUUAUUGUUGGAAAAUUUUACCAACGGUAGAUGCUCAUUCCAAUUACCAGGAAAUUCCAGAGUACAAGCUCUCAACAUAUCUUCUAGUUUUUGAAUUAUCCUUUUACUUGGAACAUCAGUUUGUGAGUGUUAGGUUGUACCCAAACACACAUUUGUACCCAUCUCUUCCUGUAAGCUCUUCAAAAAUCUAGAAGUAAAACGACUGUCAUGGUCUGACACAACUAUCAAGGGAACACUGUGAAGUUUUACUAUCUCUUUCACAUAGACAUUUGCUAGCUUAUCCAUAGAACAUCUCUCAUUGGACACUAUGAAAUGUGCGCUCGUUGUGAAUCGAUCACGAUUACCCAGAUCAUGUGACAACCCGGAAUUUCUAUCUUGUACAUCCAUGCAAUUCAAUCAAAGUCAGACUCGUUUCUGCCAUCUUUUAGCAUUGUUUAGAGUCUAUUUGAGUGUUCUAAGCCUAGUACAUUCAAGGUUUGGGUUUAGGGAUGACUUAUCUUAAGUUCAUCAAGUUGCAUUCAAGCCAAAAACUCCUUCAAGAGGAGUGUACGACCGUACACAUGAUUGUACAGCCGUACACCCAAUGUGGUCAUGAACUCAUGCCCAUAUAUGAGUCAUUCCUUCUUUUUCCUUCACUUGUCACACUUCCAAGUCAAGAAAGUCAAUUCUCUCUCAAUUAUCAUCAAGCAUUUCAUCUUGAUGUUCAACAAUGUAAGUAUUUCUUCCAUUGAUUAGUUGAUAUAAUGCCUUAUCUAGUGAAGAUCCAUGAUUUCAUCCACGAAAUUAUCUCUUUUGGUUAGAUCUUCAAGUCUUCAUCACUUUCACCAAGAACACCUACUAGUUCUUGGGCCGUGAACUCCAUAGGAACCCUCAAAAGUGUGAGUAUCUCUUCUAUCUUCUAGUUAAGCUUGAGAAACACUUGAUUCCUAGCCUUGAAUCAUCAUCUAGUGCAAGAACUUCAAGGGUGUACGGCCGUACACCCUUCUUAUGGUCGAAAACCCUUAUUUAGUGCAUGUUUUGGCCUCAAACUCAUCUUAUGUCCCAAAUAGGAUCUAGAACACAUAAUGGAUGCUAGAUAGGGUCAUAAAACACCUCCUUUGCAUGUUCUUCCACCAGUGUACGACCGUACACUCCAUGACCGUACACCUAAUGGUCGUACACCACAUUGGCCAUACACACCCUAGUGUGGCCGUAAACACCUUUGAUGCAAUCAUAUGUGAUUGUAACACUUUAAUCUAAGUGUUUCCUAGUCCCUAAGGUGGUUCCCUUGCAUAAUUAGUUAUAUAAACACUAAUUAUAUACAUAUAUGUGUCAUUAUAUGCUUAAUAGGAUCCGUUUGUGCUCAAGACUUCACUUGACACUCAACUUCCUAUAUCGAUCUUACAUUCGUAUCACUCACAACAGGUGAGUUCAUACCCCUUAACUUAUCUUUUAAAUGAUUUUAAAUGCUUUUAUGGGGGGAUACAAGUAGAAGCAUUAUACUUAAUAUAUCAAUCACAUAUGAUUAAUAACUAUCAAACAAGUGGAUAUCAUAUACUUCAAACUGUUUUAUCAAGCAAACUAUUUCAAAAUAUUUUAUAAAUUGACAUCAAGUCAUCGAUAGGCAUUCAAAUGGUUAAAACUCUUUUAUAUGCUAAACUCCUUAUUAAACUCUUUUAAACUAAUAUAUUGUCAAAAUCAUGUCUAUAUAGAUAUAGUUAUAUAAAUAAGGUUGAAAGUGCUUAGGACUGAUAACUCACUUUAUUUGAUGUUCCUUGGUUGGUUGUGGACUUAGGGUAUCCGGUUGUUUGUCCAAGUGUCAUUUGAAUCUUAAUUAUAUAUUAUGUAUAUGUAUAUAGAUAUAAAAGUUCUUACGUCAGUUCAACACCUUUGGGUAGCAAAGGUAUACAAACAUGCUUAGUCAUUCAAACAACAUUACUAGUAAACUAUAAUAGGUAUAGUUUAGGGAAUUACUACUCACUAUUUCUUGUACAAUGAAACAUACAAGAGUCAGUUCAUUCAAGAGUCAAUACAAACAUACUAUAAUGAGAAACAUAAAGAACAUACUAUGAUGAGAAACUAAGAGAACAUACACUACACUAUACAGAGAGAACAUAAUAUACACUAGAAUAGAGAGAACACACAAUACACUAGAACAUACUAUACAAACACAAGAAUACUAUAACAUUAAUGUGAGCCACUACUUCAUGGCAUGGAAAUUUACUACUGUGUCACGUUUUGCAACCAGAAUCUCCUGGAGAGAGAGCGUGAAUUUGUUUAUAGAUCUAUACGGGAUUGACCAUCCUACACCUUGCUGCUAGCUACAAUGGGACCUUCAAGUCUACGGGUGAUGAAUGUCAUAUCAUUUCAACGUCUUUAAUCGCCGUGUUAUACUAGUCAAUCAAGUAUGGAUACAACCUCAUCAAAUUUUACCUUAAUUAAAAACUGGUUUAAGGUAGUUCGAACAUUGGUAGUUACUUAUAUACAAUACUACAGUACAUCUUUAUUUUUUCAUUGCAUUCACAUUGUGAUCUUCUCACAUAAAUACUAAUGUAAACUAUAUUUUGGUAAUGAUAGUAAUACUUGGGAAAAACUUUCACUUUUACAAAAGAACAAAUAUACAGAACAGUCGGGUCUUGGUAGAAGACUACAUUUCAUAGUAAAGUAGGAAAUAUAGGAUUUUCUAGAAGAUACAACAUUUACAAGAAACAUUUACAAACAUUUUCAUACAAAACAACGACACUACAAUACUUAUGAACUCACCAGCUUUAAUGUCGAUCUACUCUUUCAAAAUAACUUGUACUCUUAGGUCACCAGUAGACAGGUACUCUAGACCAGGUUUUGAGAAGACGGAGCUCAGACAAGACUCGUCUUUUAUUUUGAUUCAUAUUUUGGUGUCUUACAAACUAUACACAGAACACACUUGUAUUAAAUUAAACUAUUAAUGCAAUGGAUGAUGUUGUUGCUUGUUUACUAUUAUGCAUUGAUAUGAUAUUGUACAUGAUGUCCUCCGCCCCGAACGUUUCCGUCGUUCCGGUUUUGGCGUGUGACAAAUCAUGUUGUGACCACUCAUAGUCCUGGGUAGCUUGGUCACAAAAUCCAUGGUCAUGUCUUCCGAUUUACCUAUGGGUACUAGUAAGGAUAAAAAUUCCUAUAUGGUUUCUCAUGUUGCGCCUUACCUCUCGUGCAAGUCACACACUCAGCCACAUAAUUUGCAAUGUCAAACUUCAUCGCCGGCCACCAAUAAUAAGGAUUCAAAUCCAUAUACAUGGUCAUGUAAGCUUCCUCCAUGAGAAUCUCUCAUUCCUCUCAUCUAGGUUACCCAAAUCCUAUCUUGGAAUACCUUUAAUCCUUGACUAUUGGUACCAAACACUAAUGUUUUACCCAAAAGUUCUUAUUUUUUUAUUAUCUCUAUCCAUAGCUUCCUCAUGAGCAUUCUUGAUACUUUCCACAAUUGUUGAGACAAUUUUAAUUAUUAACGCUCUUGGGAUUUUCCUCUCUAGGUUUAUUUUUCUACUUAAAUUAUCUGCUACGACAUUCGUUUUGCGAGGGUGGUAAAGUAUCUCACAGUCAUAGUCCUUAAGUAAUUCUAGCCAGCGUCUUUGUCUCAUGUUCAACUCCUUCUGAUUAAAGAAAUAUUGGAGACUCUUAUGAUCGGUGAACAGUUUACACUUAGUUCCAUAAAGAUAAUGUCUCCAUAUCUUUAGCGCAAAAACUACUGCUACCAACUCCAAAUCAUGAGUAAGGUAGUUCUACUCGUGAUCUUUCAGUUUUCUGGAUGCAUAUGCUAUCACUUUAUCUCUCUGGGUUAGAACACAACCUAACCCAACUCCAAAUGCAUCACUAUAAACUACUAAGUCUUCAACUCCAUCGAGAAAAGAAAGUAUUGGUGCUUCAUACAAGUGCUUCGGUAGCUUCUCAAAAGCUUCCUCAUGCUUCUCACUCUAGAUAUAGGUAGCUCCUUUAUGGGUCAAUGUUGUCAAUGAAGUAGCAAUUGAACAAAAGUAUUAGAUAAACCUUCUAUAAUAUCCAGUUAAUGCCAGAUGGCUACGAAUCUCAGUGGGACUUUUUCUUCGUUCCCACUUCAUCACUACUUUGAUCUUCACUGGGUCAACCAUUAUUACUUCUUAGUUAACCACAUGACCCAAGAAUUGCACCUCUUGGAUCCAAAAGUCACAUUUACAGAACUUUGCAUACAACUUUCUCCUUUUUAGAACUUCCAAUACUUCUCACAAGUUCUUAUAACGCUCGUGCUGGCUGUUUUGAGUAUACGGAAAUGUCGUCUAUGAACACUAUUAUAGAUUUGUCUAGGAAAUGUUUACCGACCCUUUUCAUUAAAUCCAUAAAUGUUGCUGGAGAAUUGGUUAGUCCGAACGACAUUAGAAAAAAACUCUUAGUGCCCAUAUCUCGUUACAAAUGUAGUCUUCUCAAUAUCUUGCUCUCUCACCUUCAGCUGAUGAUAUCCUGACCUAAGAUCGAUCUUCGAGAAACAGCUCGCACCCUGCAGCUGAUCCAACAGAUCAUCAAUCCUUGGAAAAGGGUACUUUUUCUUUAUCGUUGCCCUGUUCAACUCUUUAUAAUCUACGCACAUCCUCAUGUUUCCAUCCUUCUUCUUCAUGAAUAACAUCAAAGCUCCCCAGGGUGCUGACUACCCAUCAGUCCUAACAACCGAUCAUCGGGGACUAUUUCACCCCCUACUGCUACUAUCACAUAUAUCGUAACAUAACAUAUUAUCAGACAUAUCUGGGGUGUCCGAUCUACCCUUCGUCCCUAACAACCGGGCUUGGGGACUAUUCCCCUCUUACUACCACUAUCACAUAUAACAUAUCAUGCCAGCAUAUAAACAUAUCAUCACAUACUGUCAGACAUAUCUGGGGUGUCUGACCUACCCUUCUGUCCUAACAGCCGAACUCUACUACUAUCACAUAUACAUAUCAUGCUAGCAUAGAAACAUAACAGGUAGUAGCAANGACAAUCAUCUAACAUACAACUCCUAUGGGUGGGCCGGCAUUGUGGCCGUAGACCCACCGCUACUGGAAGGUAACUCACCUCAAACUAGUUGUUGAUCUGCGUGGGAAUUAACUGUCUUCUGCUGCUGCUGUCCCGGAAGUCCUCCGGCUAAAAUCCCCACAAAACACCUAGUCAAAUACUGCUAAUCGACCUCAGGGUAAAAUGACCAUUUACCCCUGACCGAGCCAAGAGUCAAAGUUAAAGUCAACUUCCAGUUGACCCGACUCACCGAGUUGGCCUGCCAACUCGCCGAGUCCCUAUCCCUUUGUCUGACCAUAACCCUGUCUCUACUCGUCGAGUUAGGCGUUGACUUGACGAGUUUUCCUUUUAAUCCAAGGUCCAAUAGUCCUUCAUCCUACUCGCCGAGUUGUAUGAACAACUCGCUGAGUUCAUCUUCAUCCGAAGAACAUGCUAUGCUAAGACUCGCCAAGUUGUAUGAACAACUCGCCGAGUCUGUUCUUGAGGUAAGAAGAUUGCCUUGGACUCGCCGAGUCAGGGCAUUGACUCGCCGAGUUCCUUCAUGGGUGAGUCUGGCUUCCGACUCACUGAGUCACAUCCCAUGACUCACUACUCCACUCCGCAAACAGAAAAGGGAAAACUCAGGGACUCGCGACUCGACUUGCCGAGUCCGAUGAACGACUCACCAAGUCUAUCGCAUGCAAACACUAAAUAUUCGAUUUUGCUUGAAUCCAGCUCAUGCCAUACAUAGAUCUGGGUUUAUAGGGCCUGGUUAACGCGUAAAGUUUCCAACUUAAUGUGUAAAUAAACACCAUUGAAGGUUUUAGGGCUCAAAAUGCACUAAAAGAGUGUAUCUAGGGCUCUCAUGCAAUAUGGCUCCAUAAAGGCAGUAUAUCCGAGCUCCUGGAGCUCAAUCAUGCCUAGAUCUAAAAGUUAAUCAAAUUAUUACAGAUCUUAAAUCAUACCCAAGCUUGGAAAUGGCUCAAGAAGGACUCUAAUGGAGCUAUAAGGGACUAUAAGCAUGGAAACAGAGGGAAACUAGGUUAUAUCUCAAGGAAAUCACUGAGAUAACACAAGGAUGUCUGGCCUCCUUCUUCUCUUCUUGAUCUACUCUUCUUUCUUCUCAAAAUCUUUAAGAAACACACCAAAGCACUUCAAUCUCACAACGAAUAAGGGUUGAACAAUGUUGGGAGCUCUGAGGGUGAAGGGGGCGAGGUUGGGGCGCAUAAGGUUGGUUUAAAUUGUGACAACCCGAAAUUUAUUCCGUCAUUUUAACCCCUUUUCCGUUAAUAAGCCUCGUUUUAUUUAACUGUUUGUUAACUUUUGGACUAGUUAAUUAAUUUGGGACUUUUUAAAUGACUUAGUAGGGGUUGAAACAAAUUAGAAACACCCUCAUUAAUCCCUUGGAAAAUUUUAGUUUCAACCAAGUCAAAAUACAACCACUAAAUCAGUGCGACCAAAAGCCCCGUUUAACGGCAGUAUCGGGUAGAUUUCCACUGAGCCUCAACUCAAGCCCCUAUAUAAUGGGGAGUGGACUUCAUUUCCACCCUUUUCACUCUCUCUCUACAAGUUAUUUUCGAGCCAAAAAAACACCCGUUUCGAGCCCCAAACGAGUAAGCAAUCUACCCUAACUUGUUGUAUAGCUUAGCUAACAUAAAAAUUCGUGUUUGAGACAUCAAAUAGGAGUAAAUUCAUGUGUUUACGGACCAAGAACACUCUUGGACCGUGAACACCCUUAAAUGGGGUUUUUAAGCCCCAAAACCCCUCAAAACUACCCCUAAGGCUUAGAUAUGGCUAAAUGACUUAUGGAAACGGACUUAGAACACAUUGAACUUAAAUUUUGGGGAGUAAACUUGAGUUUACUACGCAAGAACAUGCUUGGGCCAUAAACUCCUCUUCAUGGGGAGUAAACUCAAGUUCGAGUGUUAGAAAUGCCCUCAAACACCUCCUAUGGCCUUGGAAAAUAUCUAGAAGCAUCCCUCAUUGAAGUAAAGGAUUUAAACUUCAAUUAAUCCAAGGAAAUUGGAGUUUACCGCUGUAAACCCCCCUAGGAAAGGUCCAUGGGCCGUAAACUCCUAAAAGGUGCCCAAAUGAUGCCCUAAACUCCCCAUUUGACUUGGAAAAAUGCAUAGGAUUUUAUUCUCUAUCAUUUAAGCCCUUAAAACACCAAAAGAAUAUGUACAUAGGAGCUUAUGGCCAUAAACUCCUUGUUUAAGGCCAUAAACUCCUUAGUUGGUCCAUUUGAUGCCUUAAAUACAUUCAUACACUUUAUAUUUGGACCUAGCAAAAUUCCUCAAGUGAUAUAAGACAUUUUGGCAUCCUAGAACACCCUCACCACGAGUUUACGACCGUAAACUCAUGGGGAGUUAGUCCUAGGGCCGUGAACUCUAUAAAGAGUAAGAGUAAACUCCCUAUAUAAGCCAUUCACACCCUUAAAUGUUACCCAGGACACUCCAAGCACUUAACCAAAGUGUUUUCCGCACUUUAGGAUGCGUAUACGUGAUUAAUUAGUAUUAUACUUACUAAUUGUAUGUAAACAUAUAUUAUCAUAUGUAAAUAGAUCACUAAGUGUGUUCAAGUCUUUACUUGACAUCGAGCACCCAACCGACACCUUUGUCGGAUCCACUUACAUCAAGUGAGUUCAUACCCCUGAAUUAACCUUUUUAGAUGUUUUUACAUGUUUUAUGGGGGGAUACAAGUUAAACAUGCCAGUUAUCAUGUCAAUCACAUGUGAUUGAUAACCCGCAUGUACAAGGAUUUAUUACACUGUUAACUGUUUUACCAAGUUUGAUAUUGUAAAUGGUUUUCUAAAAUGUCUUUACUUGUUCAAAUCUUUACUUUUAUUGUCUUACCAAAGUUAUGAUCAAAACAUGGUUAUGUAAGGUUUUCAAAGGAUUUCUAAAGGUUUUCAAACUGAUUUUAAAAAAGAAAACCAAGUCAUGAUUGUCUUACGUACAAAGGUUUUCCAAAGUUUUCAUCAAAGUUUUCUUCCAUGUUUUUAUACUCUUACUUGGUUAGAUACUACUGCUUCGUUAUACUUCUACUUAGUUAAUACUCCCACUUAGUUAAAUGCUAUUACUAUAUUGACGCUUCUACUUCGAGAUACGCUUAUACUUGUUUACACUUUUACUUCGUGAUAUACUUUUACUUCGUGAGACGCUUUUACUUAGUGAUACGCUCCUAUUUCACGAUACACUUAUACUUGUUAAACGAUUCUACUUCGAGAAAUACUACUACUUCGUAAACGCUCCUACUUUGUUACCGCUUCUACUUCACGAACAACUCCAACUUUAUUAAUGCUACUACUUCGUGAACGCUUAUACUUUAUUAACACUUUUACUUAGAGAAACGCUUCUACUUCACAAUACUCUCCUACUUCACGAUACGCUUCUGCUUGUUAACACUUCUACUUCGAUAAACACUUCAACUUCGUUAAAUGCUCUUACUUAGUUAAAUGUAUGCCUGUACUUGUAUAGUUAUAUAAAUAAUGAUUAAAGGACUUAGGAAGCCUAGUUCGCCCUAUUUCCUUUUCUUCGUUGAGAUGUGGUCUGGUGGGAUCAGAUAUCCAUCCGAAGGUCGUUUGAUCAUUUGUUAUAUAUCAUGUAUACAAGUAUAGACAUAUGGGUUUUACAUCGGUAGGUUCAGUUCUGAGUCUCUACUGCUAGUCCAACACUUUUGUCAAAUUCACUAUUUGGGAUACAUCUUCAGGACACGGCCUUCUUCGUUGUCUAGUUGGUAACCAGAGUCUUUUGUAGGGAGAGCGGACAUUAUGUGUAUAAAUCUAUACGGGAUUGACACCCCCGCACCCUAACUACUAGCUACAGUCCAUGGCCUACCAAGCCAAGGGGUGACAAAUUUCAUACUUACACCGACGCUUGCAGUGUGUCAAGUACUCUAGUGUCAAUUAGUAUGGUUACGAUUAUCUCCAUGUUACCUUAUAAUUCAUGGUCUUAAGGUAAUGAUAUUUAACAUUGUAUGCUGUAAACACACUCUUAGAAUUACACUAUUUGAGACCAUAUUAGCCGUAUCUUCCAUUUGAUACUAUCUAGGGUCUGUAUUCACUGUUUUAGACCGUGCUAGCUGUAUCUUUCAUUUGAUACUGUUUAGGGUCUGUAUUCACUGUUUUAGACCUUGCUAGCUGUAUCGUUCAUUUGAUACAGUCUGGGGUCCGUGUCUCCUUUUGUUAGACUGAGCCAGGCGUUUCGUUCAUUCGAUACUCUCCUGGAGUCUAUGAUNGAGUCUAUGACCUUUUGCCUUAGUCAGCAGUCUUCACUGCUGAGGAAUAUGUUAUUUUCCCUGAUAUUCUUCUACUUUCUUUAAAAUCAAAUCCCGUAUUUUGAUAAUGAUAGUGUUUAAGGGAAAACUACUUUUUACUACAUAACUCCGUCCAGUCUUGGUAGAAGACUGCUUUUAAUUAGAAAAUAUAGGAUUUUCUGGAAAGGACUCUAAUACACUAUAGAAUCUAAAACUACUUCUUUUAUAAUGUUAUUUUGAACUUACACAAAUGACACUAAAUACUUAUGAACUCACCAGCAUUUGUAAAAAAUGUUGAUACUCGCUUUCAAAAUAACUUGUAUUCUCAAGUCAGCAAUAGACAAGUACAUCCCUGGAGCUUUUGAUGAAGACAGUUUAGUACCAAGCUGCACUUAUACUAUUACUUGUAUUACUUUGAUAUUCUAUGUAAUGUAAACCAUGUAAAACUAUUACUAUUAAUGCAAUGGUUGUUGUACUUUGAUUACUAUACUGCAUAUAUUGUGAUACUUGACAUGACGUCAUCCACCCCAGAACGUUUCCGCCGUUUCGGUUUUGGGGUGUGACAUAAAUAGGGUGCAAACCCUUGGAAUUUAGGGUUUAAUCAGACAACAGGGACUCGCCGAGUCGCCAACUUAAACGUGCUCCCAAACCCGUCUCCACUCAGCGAGUCGGGCCUAAAACUCGCCGAGUCCAAGGCUAAAAAUGUAAAAUACUUAGAUAAAUUUAUGUACCAGGAUCUAGGUGCUACAAAUUUCCCCCUCUUAUUUUAGACUUCGUCCUCGAAGUCUGCUGCUCGCUCCUAAAACAACUCAGGGUAAUGCUCCAUCAUUUCUUCCACCGGCUCUCAAGUCCAUUCCAAAACCUUUCGGUGCUGCCAUUGCACCUUUACUAAUUCCACCCUCUUGUUCCUCAGAUCCUUUGACUUCCAGUCGAGGAUUGCAACUGGGCACUCAAUGUAAUUCAGGCUGUCAUCAACCUGUAUAUCCUCUAGCGACACCACCGCUGAAUCAUCCACUAGGCACUUCCGCAGCUGGGAGACAUGGAAGGUGUUGUGGAUCUGACUGAGCUCGGCUGGCAGAUCCAGCCUAUAUGCCACCUUUCCCACCCAGGCUACAACCCUGAACGGACCAAUGAAUCUUGGGCCCAACUUGCCCCGCUUCCUGAAUCGAAUGACGCCCUUCCAAGGCGAAACUUUCAGGAGAACCAUAUCCCCAACCUGAAAUUCCAGGUUUGACCGGUGCUUGUCGGCGUAACUUUUCUGCCGACUCUGCGCAGUCUGCAGCCUGCUUCGAACCUGCUGGAUUCUCUCGGUCGUCUUGAGCACCACUUCGGUGCUCCCCAUGACCCUCUGGCCAACUUCACCCCAACAUAUCGGGGUCCUGCACCUCCGUCCGUACAACAUCUCGAAUGGGGGACGGUCAAUACUCGNNNNNNNNNNNNNNNNNNNNNNNNNNNNNNNNNNNNNNNNNNNNNNNNNNNNNNNNNNNNNNNNNNNNNNNNNNNNNNNNNNNNNNNNNNNNNNNNNNNNNNNNNNNNNNNNNNNNNNNNNNNNNNNNNNNNNNNNNNNNNNNNNNNNNNNNNNNNNNNNNNNNNNNNNNNNNNNNNNNNNNNNNNNNNNNNNNNNNNNNNNNNNNNNNNNNNNNNNNNNNNNNNNNNNNNNNNNNNNNNNNNNNNNNNNNNNNNNNNNNNNNNNNNNNNNNNNNNNNNNNNNNNNNNNNNNNNNNNNNNNNNNNNNNNNNNNNNNNNNNNNNNNNNNNNNNNNNNNNNNNNNNNNNNNNNNNNNNNNNNNNNNNNNNNNNNNNNNNNNNNNNNNNNNNNNNNNNNNNNNNNNNNNNNNNNCGGGAUAUCCGCUGCAUCUUGCCAUGCGGUAUCUGAUGCUUGGCUUUGACCUUCCUACAGGUCAAACACCGCUCAACGUACCACGCCACAUCACGCUUCAUGCAGGGCCACCAAUAGUCUAGACGAAAAUCCCGAUACAUCUUCGUCGCCCCUGGAUGGAUAGUGAAUCGGGAUUUGUGCGCCUCCUCCAUCAAGAUCUGGCGCACUCCUCCGUGGUACGGCACCCACACCCUAUGGUAUAGUGUCAAUAAUCCUCGGCUAUCAUAAUCGAAGGAGGUGACUUGACCCACUAUUCGCUCACUCUUCNNNNNNNNNNNNNNNNNNNNNNNNNNNNNNNNNNNNNNNNNNNNNNNNNNNNNNNNNNNNNNNNNNNNNNNNNNNNNNNNNNNNNNNNNNNNNNNNNNNNNNNNNNNNNNNNNNNNNNNNNNNNNNNNNNNNNNNNNNNNNNNNNNNNNNNNNNNNNNNNNNNNNNNNNNNNNNNNNNNNNNNNNNNNNNNNNNNNNNNNNNNNNNNNNNNNNNNNNNNNNNNNNNNNNNNNNNNNNNNNNNNNNNNNNNNNNNNNNNNNNNNNNNNNNNNNNNNNNNNNNNNCACCGCCCCCAACUCUAAAUCAUGCGUCGGGUAGUUCGCCUCGUGAGGCUUCAGCUGCCUCGAGGCAUAAGCGAUGACAUGUCCCCUCUACAUCAAUACUGCACCAAAGCCCGAGAUAGACGCAUCACAGUAUACCACGAAAUCCUCUACACCCUCCGGCAUGGCUAAGAUCAGCGCCUCGCACAAUCUCUGCCUCAGAAUCUCGAACGUUGCCUGCUGCUCAGGCCCCCAUCGAAAGACCACGGCUUUCCUAGUCAACCGUGUCAGGGUUACGGCUAUCUUGGAGAAAUCUUGAAUGAAUCUCCGAUAGUAUCCUGUAAUCCUAGGAAACUCCGAAUCUCGAAUGGAGACUUCGGAACCUCCCAUCUCAUCACGGCCUCCACCUUGGCCGGGUCUACUGAAAUCCCGUUUUGGUUGAUGAGGUGCCCAAGAAAAUGCACCUCGCACAACCAAAACUCACAUUUGGAGAACUUGGCGUACAAGCUCUCCCUCCUCAAGGUCUCUAAAACCUCUCUCAGAUGCUCCUUGUGCUCUUCCUGCGUCUUAGAAUAAACCAAGAUGUCAUCAAUGAAAACUAUCAUAGACCGAUUUAGCAUCGGUCUACACACGCAGUUCAUGAGGACCAUGAACGCGGCAGGAGCAUUGGUGAGUCCAAACGACAUCACCACGAACUCAUAAUGGCCAUAACGCGUCCGAAACGCGGUCUUCUGUACAUCCUCCUCUCUGACCCUCAUCUGAUGAUAACCUGAAUGCAAAUCGAUCUUGGAGANNNNNNNNNNNNNNNNNNNNNNNNNNNNNNNNNNNNNNNNNNNNNNNNNNNNNNNNNNNNNNNNNNNNNNNNNNNNNNNNNNNNNNNNNNNNNNNNNNNNNNNNNNNNNNNNNNNNNNNNNNNNNNNNNNNNNNNNNNNNNNNNNNNNNNNNNNNNNNNNNNNNNNNNNNNNNNNNNNNNNNNNNNNNNNNNNNNNNNNNNNNNNNNNNNNNNNNNNNNNNNNNNNNNNNNNNNNNNNNAUACACAUCCGAUGUGACCCGUCCUUCUUCUUCACAAAUAGGAUCGGGGCUCCCCAGGGUGAACUGCUUGGUCGAAUAAAUCCCUUGUCUAGCAGCUCCUGCAUCUCGGGAGGAGCCAACCGAUAGGGUGCCUUGACUAUCGGAGCCGCACCAGGAACUGGGUCGAUCCUGAACUCUACCUGACGCUCCGGAGGUAUUCCAGAAAGCUCCUCCAGGAACACAUCAGCGUAGUCUCGCACCACUGGAACCUCACUCACCGUCGCCUUACCCGCAUCCCUGGUAUCCAUAAUGUACACGACAUAUCCCAUGCAACCCCGCUGAAGGUAGCGCCUAGCUCUCGCUGCUGAACAUACUGUGGGUCCAUGUUGUGGCCUCUCGUCGUAGAUCACCAACUCUCCCCCACUUGGGUUAACGUCCCAAAAAUACGAGCCAAAAAUUUCAUUUUUAAAACAUACACUUUGCAAAACAUUAGAAAUAAAACAUUCACGGAUCAUAUCAUUUCAUAAAAGAUGUUGCUUGUCUGGAAACCAUUUUAUAAAACAUAAUACUGUCAGAGUACAAAUCCCCAGGAAGAUCCCAUAGUGUGGAAUACAAAGCGUGUGUGUGAGGUACCGCUACCAUUCUGGCUUCUUCCCCUUCGAAGAAGAGGUACCUGAAAACAAAACUGAAAAAUGUAAGCACAAAGCUUAGUGAGUUCUCGCAUCAUUGUAAGGUCCCAAUUACAAGAUCGAAACCAGUGAUCAAAACAAACAAUAACAUAAAUGAGUAGAAUAAGAGGAUGAUCAAGCAAUGCACACGUUCAUUCACUAAAACAUCAAGUACACCUUGAAGAUUCACACACACUGACCGUAAACAAUUGUGAUACGUCACUAUUUUGACAGACACUGACACAAACUAUAUAUAAUAAAGACAAGCCGUAAACCUGUUUACGGCCGUAAUCACCAACUCAGUNCAUCUGGGGUGUCCAAUCUACCCUUCGGCCCUAACGACCGGGCUUGGGGAUUAUUCCCCUCCUACUACCACUAUCACAUAUAACAUAUCAUGCCAUCAUGUAAACAUAUCAUCACAUACGAUCAGACAUAUCUAGGGUGUCUAACCUACCCUUCGGUCCUAACAUCCGAACUCAACUACUAUCACAUAUACAUAUCAUGCCAGCAUAGAUACAUAUCAGGUAGUAGCAAACCUAGAUGAUAUCACAAAACAAUCAUCUAACGUACAAAUCCUACUAGUGGGCCGGCAUUGUGUUCGUAGACCCACCGCUACUGGAAGGUAACUCACCUCAAAGUAGCUGCUGAUCUGCGUGGGAAUUGACUGUUUACUGCCGCUGCUGUCUCGGAAGUCCUCCGACUAAAAUCCCCACAAAACACUCAGUCAAAUACUGCUAAUCGACCUCAGGGUAAAAUGACCAUUUACCCCUAACCGAGCCAAGAUUCAAAGUCAAAGUCAACUUCCAGUUGACCCGACUCGCCGAGUUGGCCUGCCAACUCGCCGAGUCCCUAUCCCUUUGUCUGACCAUAACCCCGUCUCUACUCGUCGAGUUAGGCGUUGACUCGANNNNNNNNNNNNNNNNNNNNNNNNNNNNNNNNNNNNNNNNNNNNNNNNNNNNNNNNNNNNNNNNNNNNNNNNNNNNNNNNNNNNNNNNNNNNNNNNNNNNNNNNNNNNNNNNNNNNNNNNNNNNNNNNNNNNNNNNNNNNNNNNNNNNNNNNNNNNNNNNNNNNNNNNNNNNNNNNNNNNNNNNNAACCGAUGUCCAAUAGUCCUUCAUCCUACUCGCCGAGUUGUAUGAACAACUCGCCGAGUUCAUCUUCAUCCGAAGAACAUUCUAUGCUGAGACUCGCCGAGUUGUAUGAACAACUCGCCGAGUCUGUUCUUGAGGCAAGAAGAUUGCCUUGGACUUGCCGAGUCAGGGCAUUGACUCGCCGAUUUCCUUCAUGGGUGAGUCUGGCUUCCGACUCACUGAGUCACACCCCAUGACUCACUACUCCACUCCACAAACACAAAAAGGGAAAACUCGGGGACUCGCGACUGGACUCGCCGAGUCCGAUGAACGACUCACCGAGUCUAUCGCAUGCAAACACUAAAUAUUCGAUUUUGCUUGAAUCCAGCUCAUGCAAUACAUAGAUUUGGGUUUCUAGGGCCUGGUUAACACGUAAAGUUUCCAACUUUACGUGUAAAUAAACACCCAUGAAGGUUUUAGGGCUCAAAAUGCACUAAAAGAGUAGAUCUAGGGUUCUCAUGCAAUAUGGCUCCAUAAAGGCAGUAGAUCCGAGCUCUUGGAGCUCAAUCAUGCCUAGAUCUAAAGGUUAAUCAACUUAUUACAGAUCUUAAAUCAUACCCAAGUUUGGAAAUGGCUCAAGAAGGACUCUAAUGGAGCUAUAAGGGACUAUAAGCAUGGAAACAGAGGGAAACUAAGUUAUACCUCAAGGAAAUCACUGAGAUAACACAAGGAUGCCUGGCCUCCUUCUUCUCUUCUUGAUCUACUCUUCUUUCUUCUCAAAAUCUUCAAGAAACACACCAAAGCACUUCAAUCUCACAAGGAAUAAGGUUUUGAACGAUGUUGGGAGCUCUGAGGGUGAAAGGGGCGAGGUUGGGGCGCAUAAGGUUGGUUUAAAUAGGGUGCAAACCCUUGGAAUUUAGGGUUUCAUCAGACAGCAGGGACUCGCCGAGUCCAGAAUGUGGACUCACCGAGUCGCCAACUUAAACGUGCUCCCAAACCCAUCUCCACUCAGUGAGUCGGGCCUACAAGUCGCCGAGUCCAAGGCUAAAAAUGUAAAAUACUUAGAUAAAUUUUACGUACCAGGAUCCAGGUGCCACAUCCUUCAUCUCCGUCAGUGCUAAUCGAUAUGGUACUUUUACUAUCAGCAUCGUUCUUGGUAACAAGUUUAUUCGAAAUUCUACUAGUCUAUCAGGGACAAUCCAUGAAGAUAUUCGGGAAAUACUUCCGGAAAGUCACACACCAUGGGUAUUCUCUAUAUCUCCUUCUUUGCAUCAAUCACUAAUGACAUAUAUGAUGUACAUAUUUUGUCCAAACACUCUCUAUCUUUCAUCAGGGAGAUCAUUCUAGAAUUCACUCAGAGUUUUUCCCCGUAUACCACAAAUGUUUCUCUUCUAGGGGGGUUCACUCUCACCAUCUUCUUCCUACAUAGUAUCUUGGCAUCGUUUGUACUAAACCAAUCCAUUCCUAAUACUAUGUUGAAUCCGUUUAACUCAGUGGGCAACAAUUCCACAUGGAAAUUAUUCCCAUUUAAGUCAAUGACGAUGUUCUUAAUAUAGUCACUAACAGGUAUGAAUUUUCCACUAGCGACCUCUACUACUAGAGCACUAUCUAGUUUAUCUACAGGCAAUUCUAGUCUUAUACCAAAUUUUUGCGAAAUAAAGGAGUAGUUAGCUUCAGAAAAAAAUAUUGGGAGCAAAAUAAUUUACUAGAAAGGUAGCUGAAGCGAUAUCUGCUUCCUCAUUUGCUGCUUCCAGAGUCAUUUGGAAUGCUCUCACCUUUCGCUUCGGUGGGACAUUUGGAUUUGCGACCUCUUUCUUCUUCGGAAAAUCAUUUUCUAGUUUCCCCUCCUCUCCAUAAUUAUAGCACACUCUCUUGUUUAAUGUACACUCAUUGGCAUAGUGACUCGUCCUUCCGCAUAUGUAAGAAGUCACCUCCUCAGUACAUUUUCCAUAGUACUUCUUUUUGCAUUUCUCACACGAUUUUGCUUCACCUCCUCCUCCUCCAAAAUUCUUAGGAUCAGACUUCGAGAAUCUGCUUCUCUUGUUGGAUCUCGAAGAUAUCUCAAAUUUCCUAUUCUAUCCUACCUCUGCUCUCUCCAGUCCAUUCUAUCUUAUUUGGGUCUCAAUAUUUUUAGCUGCCCAGAUAGUGGCUUUCAAAGUGGUUGCCAGUUUCACCUUUAGACUGAAAUCUGCUAGUAUUCCACUAGCAAACUUGUUGAUCUUGGAGAGUUCAGUUGGAACUAAGUAAGGAACAAGCUUCAUUAUUCCUGUAAAACUUGCAUCAUAAUCGUUGAUGCUUAUCUUUCCCUUCCUUAGGUUCUAGAUAUCAUUACUAAUCUCCAAAAGAUCCUGCUCAGAGCAGUGCUGCAUUUCCAAUUGCACCAAAAAUUCUUCCCAAGACCUCUUACUAGCUUCUCCCUUGGGCAUGGUAUUAGCCAGUAACUUCCACCAUCUUAAUACCCUAUUCUUCAACUGUAUGACUGCGAAAAUGCUCUUCUUCUUGUUGCUACAGUCAUAACUCUUAAACACCAUCUCCAUCUUAGAGACCUAAUCCAUAACUUCCACAAGUUUUGGGCUUCUAGAAAGACUCGGUGGCUUGGAUGCCAUGAAAUCCUUGUACUUGCAUCCACGUCCAUCGUCUCCUUCAUUUGACUGGUUCCUUCAAACCACAUGUGGCUUAGCUUAACUGACAGUCCGACAGUAGUUUCCCUCCUCAAGCUAUUCUUCAUUCAGAUCAGGUUGCACAAUAGGUAUAGUAUGUUCAUCCCUAUUUUGUUGAAGUAAACACCUUUUCUCUUCCAUAUGGCAAUCAAACAUCACCUGAAUCAUUGCCAACGUGAUAGGUUCAGGUGAUGCUGCUACCUCUGGUGCAUGUUCAAUCACUCAUGGCUCAGGAUACUAGUUUCUAUUAACAUUUCCUAAUCCACUCCGUGUUCUCACCAUGACGUUCUAUACACCAAAGUAGACAUUUCGUGUCCCGAGAAGAGAAUUUAAGAUACAAAAGUUUUUGUUUGACACAUAGUCCUCCUUAUUCCUCUGAAAUAUUACAUGUCAGUUCUAAUACCGUACUUAAAAGUUUAGAAUCAUGAACACAUAAAUUUUCUAAAUCUUGGUCGGCAACAAACCAAUGAUUUAUUCAAAUAAAAGCAUCCUAGGUAGGCAAUCUAAAGCAUCUUAAGGCAUCUUAUCACUAUAGUAUACUUUAUCAUAAAUCAUUUAGCAUAUAAAGAAAUCUAGGAAUCAUUCCUAUAAUAAGCUAGUGUUUGUGUCACUUCAGGCAUACUACCUAAAAUAUAGUAGACACUCAUCUUAAAAUCAUCGCUUAGCAUUCUAUAUUUAAGUCUAUAAAUCCUCAAAUAUUCCUAAUUCGCUUAAACUAAUGCUCUGAUACCAACUGUGACAUCCCCAUUUUCACAGUCAUAAAAUACCAAUUUUAACUAUGCUUAUUUUAUUUCAGAGUAUCCUUUUCAAAGAACUAUAAUGCGAAAUUUGUUCCCAAUAAUGUGAUAAUAUUAUUACCAAGCAUUUCCAAAGAAAUGAAUUUCAUUUAUAACAUUGGGAUGUCAUCAUCAAUAUAGAAAAAUAAGCAUAACAAAAACAUUAUAGUCCCUACAACAUCUUAUUAUACUAUUGCCUACAAGCUCCUUAAAUCACUCAACAUCCUUGGGCCUUCGUACCGCUACCUGUGAUACAAUGAAACUGAGAGGGUCAGGCUUGGGGCCUAAUGAGCACAUAAUGUAUUUAACCCGCAAUAACCAAGCUCUUUUAAUUAUAUAAUUUACAUCAAAUAAUUUACCCGAUUAACCAUUCCCGUUAUUCUCACAUAUUGAUCCUAAAAUAUUGAUCUCAAUGGAGCUAUCCUAAGGAUCAUUAUCAUCAAUGGGUAGACAAUAUUGCUUGGGAGAUUCCUUUAGCAACAUGUGUCCAUAAGGCAACCAUGGGGGAUAGAGUACAUCAAUGAACAUAUAGUUUACUAAAACCUAUAGGUUACGAGCCUGCCAUCUUUUCUACUAGACUAUCUAGAAUAGUCCAUGGUCGCCAUCUAUACUUUGCUAGACAACUUGUUGAUCAAUAGUCAAGUCCUCUCAUCAUCAUCUCAUUGUCUUCAUCACCCAUUACUACCCAAAAUAUUUUAUAUAAAUACAUAAUAAAAUACAUAUAUUAUUAACCAAUUAAAAUCAUAUAAUUUAUCUAACACAAAUAUCAAGUAAUUCAGAUAAUAGGCAUACAUAGCAUUUAAUCAUCUAUAUACUUUAUAUCUAUGUGUAAGCUGAAAGUAACUAUGCACUCACUUGAUAAAGUGAUGACUUUGAAAUCAGAUAGUGCUUUUGUCACACCCCCAAACCAAGGAUGGCGGAAACGUCCGGGGGUGGAGGACUUCAUGUAGAGUAUCACAACAACGAGUAUAAUAGUGCUCAAAGUAAAUACAACCAUCAUAAAUAUAAUUGAAAAAGUUACACCAAGGUAUAUGCUUACAUGAUUCGAAUCAAUUACAUUAUGAUACAAAAUGAACUGUUUGACGAUUUAUCGUCCCAUCCUCAAAACGUUGUUGAUUUCAUGUUUUCACUGAACUCCUGAGAAUACAAGUAGUUUUGAAAAGUGUCAACACAAAGGUUGGUGAGUUCAUCAGCUUUUGAUAGUAAGAGUUUGAAAAUCGGUCUUUGUAAAGAGAUGUAUGUUACCAAGAAAAAUCCAAUAUUGUCCUUAUAAAAGUUAUGUGGUCCUAAAUACCAGGUCCGAAAAUGAACAAGUAUUUGUCAUACUUAAGGAUAUAAAUGUGGUUUUAAAUUGGCGUAAAACCCUUUCUGAUUUGAGAAAAAUCCUGAAAUGAAUGAUGUGUAGUCUUAUAUACCAAGACUGAAAAUAUACCCUAAUAUCUAUAAUUAUUGAAAUAAAAAGUGAUUUUAAAUCGACAUAAAACCCCUUUUGAUUUAUGAAAAUCCCUGUAAACUUUAUGUUGUUAAAUCCCUAUGUGAGCUGCUAUAAUCAUACUAAUGACUGAAUAAACCUGCCACAACGUUUCUUUGGCGUCGCGAAACUGAAAUGACACUUGACACCACAGACCUGUCGGUCUAGCUAUUGCAUGCAACUCAGGUGUAGGUUGUCUAACCCAAUAUAGAUCUAUACACAACUAUCACGUUCUCCCUCCAGGAGACUCUAAUUAUAACUAACAGGAAUUUAGAUUCCGCACUCGGACGUACGGAAGAGAUUGUCUCACAAUUUAGGUUAACAAGUUUACGUGUGGCGUGCAUGAGUGUAAAAUCUUUUCUGUGGGAAUAAAACCUUCCGAAAUGUGUUUGUUGUGUUAAUGGAAACAUAAACCAUACCUAUUAUAGUUUAUCCCAAAACGUUUGUAAUGUAUAAGAACUCUUUUAUGAAAACGCAUUUGUGUUAUGAAUCCAUAAACUAUGCUUAUUAUAGCUUAAUAUACGUGUUCUAAAUAAAUGAAUAAUCUUAUCAUGAAUGACUAAGUUUCAGUUUAUGAUGAUAAACUAACAAGGAAACACAUUCAAUAUUUAGAACUUAUUGUUAUACACUUUGCUCAACAUAAUACAAAGUGUUAUGAAAUUUAUAUGCUGUUAACUAAAUUUAACCUUUCUGCGCUGUUUUAGAAAAGUCAUAGAAAAAUCAUACGAAGUCGAAAACUAAAUCCGUAAAUUCUGAGAGUUCCCAAAAUGUGUCUAGUUUACUCAUAAUUUUUAUCAUGAUUUUUAAUGACCUCCAACUUGGGUGAAAAAGUCCAUAAUCACAGACUGGUCCGGAUUGAUGUUUGAAAUGAUAGGCAGUUUUGUAAAAAUCACCAUAAAUUGUAGAAAAAUCGUAUGGAGAUGUGCAAGUAGUCAUUUUAAAGCUAAGAAGUGGAACUACAUGCACCUAAAACAGUUUUGAAAACUAAAAUGUUUAAGUUGUCCAAAACAGUCCGUGAAUGGAGUUGAACUUUUCUGAUGAAGGCUGUUAUAAACGUUUAGUUAUGUUCUUGGUGUUUUAACUUGUAUUCCCCCCCUAAAAACUUGAGAAAACAUGAAAAUGUAGGGGUAUAACUCACCUUGAGUAGUUUCAGUAGAUGAGUGUUGAAGAAGAGAAGUGUCCAAAUCAAGAACACUUGAAGAAUCACUUGCAGAUUCGAAGAUCUAACAAGAAUGUGAUGAUGUUUGUGUAAGCAAUCUAUGAUUUUGAGUAGGAGGAUGUGUAAUAAUCAUAAGAAAGAUGACGAUACUUACUAAUUGAAGGAGAAAAGUCUUGGAGUAUGCCUUGAAGUUCUCGAAUUUGAGAGAGAAAGAUGAGAGAGUUUGGAGUGUGAUUCUUGGUGGAAAAAUGAGAGAAUGAAUGAAGUGUGAAGAGAGAGGGUGGAUGUUCCAGCUCUAAGAACGUGGGAAAUGGUUGGAAAUAAUGAGAAAGGACUUAUGAAGUGACUAGGGAUGGGCUGAUGGUGAAUAGUGACAUGGAGUGGGUAUGGGAGUGGUUGCUUGUGUCAUAGAAUAAAGGAAAGUCAACACUCCACCUCUUGUACUUCACCCACUCUUCUUGGAUAAGGUUUAUCCUUAAAAACGUGAUUAAUCAUUAAUUAAGGGGUCUUAUAUGUUAAAAUAAAGUUUUGAGUGAAAAUCCCACGUUAAAAUGAUGAAAAACGAAGUUAAAAUGAAGUCGUAGUCGAAAACCGGAAAGAAUUAAUCUUCCAGCGAGGCCUCUCGGAUUGGGUCGACGGUUCGGUCCUCCUGAGUCUAGGCGCGAGGCGACGCGAAGCGAUACAGCAAGAAGAGCAGGCUCGGUCCGAAGCAGUCAGAAGCGAAAAAGACCGAAGGCAUCAUGGAGCGAAAAUGGACCGAGGCUCGGGUUCGGGUCUUGUGCGAGGUUCGAGCCCGAGAGGACCCUUCGGGUUCGGUUCAGCAGCCUUCGAGUUCGGCUCAAAAGGGUUCGGUCCCUAAGAGGACUUUCGGCCCUAAGAGGGAUUUUGGGUCCUUAAGAGGGGUUUCAGGUCCUUAAGCCAAUUUUACUCGUUUUUACCCCGUUUCAAGCCAUUUUUGACCCGGUUAAGGGUCGGGAUGGCCCGAAUGACUUCAAAAAGUUACGGGAACUUUUGAGAAAGAUUUGGGAGAGAUUUCACAUUCUUGGAGAUAUUUGGGAGAGAUUUCUCAUACAAAGAGACAUUUGGGAGAGAUUUCACAUUCUUGGAGAGAUUUGGGAGAGAUUUCAUAUUCUUGGAGAGAUUUCUCAUACAAAGAGAGAUUUGGGAGAGAUUUCACAUUCUUGGAGAGAUUUGGGAGAGAUUUCAUAUUCUUGGAGAGAUUUCUCAUACAAAGAGAGUUUUGGGAGAGAUUUCUGAUAGAGAGAGAUAGAGUGAAAACGAUUGAGAGAGGUUUCGUGUGUGAUAAUUGUGAGUGUCCGGCUUUGCAAUGCAAGGUGCGUAAACCUUGUUAAGCCUUGUUUAAGGAUCUUACACACUCCCGAUGAGUAUGCAACAUUGUUUUAUCGGUUUGGCUCGUCACGUACCACAGUUUUUGGUUAAGGAGAUCUAGUUGUACGUACUUUUCGAUUAAUGAUCUCUCAUUAGAAUAGUGAGUUGUUUAGAAUUUACAUAACGUAAACUCUAGUACCCACGGGCAAAUUGAGUCGAACGGUUUGACUUGUUGACUUCAGUUGACUUUGACUUGACUGGAAAUUAACGGUUGUCACAACUUUACUUCAGCACUUGGCUUUUUCUUUGAUGUGACCUAAGUUUAAUUAUCAUUAAGUCUUAGUUUAUUUCUUAUGACUAAUUGUACUCUAGAUUCCUCAACAAUCCUAAUGUCUACAUCAAGAUCUAUCAAGUAUGGAACAACUAGGUAGGAUCAUAUUGGAGGUAGCGUCCAUUUGGUAUAUAAAGUAUACAGUUUGGAAAUCGCACUUUAAACGCCUCAUUAAAUCCAACCUAGAAAUUGUCUCCAUAAGUAGAUUGAUAUGUGUAUUUUUAUAUAUAUUUUUAUACACUUUAUCUUAAUAUUUUGGCCUUAUUUAUUCUAUUUUAGAACUAAAAAGUACUCAUAAUGCUUUGAAUUAUGUUUUGCAGCUAUUUGUUGCCGAUGAAGCACAAAAGAAAAGAUUGAAUCGGGAACCGGGCUUAGAAGCUAAAAGAAAUCAAAAUUGCUGAAAAAGUGAGUACGCCCCGCGUAAGGAAAUAGUACGCGCCGCGUACACCUUUGCACCGGAUAGACUUGAUCGCGUGAUUAUCUUGAGUACGCGCUGCGUAAUCCUAAGUACGCCCAGCGUACUUAGGUCGGCCACAAAGAUUAUAAAUAUCGAUUUUUAGCUAACCAGGAGGGAGGAUUCGACUUCUAACCUAAUUUAGUCGACAAUUAACUUCUGUUAAGCCGUUUUGAGGGUCUAGAAGGCGGCCGGAAGGCCGUUAAGCUAACGGGAGCGGAGAUCGGAAGGAUUGGAGAGCGGAUACAUGUUGAUUAUCAUAUGGUUUGCUGACGUGACCAUGUUUAGCAUUCUAUUGUGGUAUUUUUCUGUAUUUAGUUUCUGAUUUAGGUGUAAAAACCUUUUACUUUGUGUUUAUGAUUGAAUGAAGCUUUGAUUAUUAGACCAAUUGCUAUAUUAAAUAGUUUAUUUGUGUUUAAUUUAUCUUGCCAAGCUUGUUUAAAGAUCCUCAUGUGUUAAUGAUGAUUAUUUUCUGUUAAUUGUUAAGUGAAUUGAGUUGCUUGAACAUCUGCUUGAUUUGCUUGUCUCUUAUGAUUUUUGAUGACCAUCGAGAUUAUAAGACUAGAAAUAACGAAUGUGAAACUAGGAUUAACUUGAGAAUAAGUAAGUUAAUGUGUGAGCCUUGUUUGAUGACCAUCAACAAGAGGUUGAUUAAAUGUCUACAUUGAUUAACUAUAUUUACAAGUCUUGCUUGAUACGAACUGAACACUAGGAAGCAUGUUAGUUUAAUCAACUGAUCACUGUUUGAAUUGACUUGUUUGCUAAAGGAUUAGUUAUAGUGAACGCGAAUCUAAUCAUUUUAGGAAUCGGUGAACAUUGAAUAAAUGAAUUUGUGUAUGCAAUUGUCUAUGUUUUAAGGUGUAAUUUAUCUAAACCCAAGUACCUGAAGAGAUGUGCUUUCCUGUUAGUUUAUCGAGAGUUGUUAAUUGAUUUAUUAAACCAUUUUAUUAUUUUCGUGUAACCUGUAACCUAUAAUCAAAUAUAUUAAAUUAAUCCACCGUUCCCUGUGAUCGACACCCGACUUACCUAAGCUAUACUGUAAUCUGACUAGGUACACUGCCUAUAAGUGCAUAGAUAGUCUAAGUUUGUUAGGUUAUAAAUAUUAAAAUUAGUGGGUACUUUUGUGCACAUCAAGUUUUUGGCGCCGUUGCCGGGGAACGGCUUGUCAUUAAUUUAUUUUAUUUGAUUAUUCGUUAUUUGUUUUUAGUUAGUUUUUAUUUUUAGUUUUUAUUUUUAGUUUGAUUUUCGAUGAUAUCAUUUCACUUGUCGGGAAGGUUCUUGUUUUUAUUUUGCAGGAAUUUGGGAUUGUACACAUUGCUUGACUUUACUUUUUGCAUGGGUUUCGGGAAUGAAAGCGACUAGGGAAUUCUUGACCUGCUUAGCCUACUACUUUGUUGAUUUGUCCAACUCAAUCCAUGAGGCGUAGUAUAGCAAGGCGUAUUGUGGUGGUUAAGUGGAAGACCGAGCUCUUGCUGUUCUUGACUAGUUAGGUCACUUCUUGUUCCGCUUUUAGUUAAAGGUGCAAGGAAAACAAAGGAAAUAUUCUAACGGGUCCCGAAAGUGGGUGUUUUCGCAAACCAAUUCUUGCAUGCAAAGGUUUUUGAUCAACCAUUGUUGUUUGAUCUUGACAAAGAUAAGUGAUUAUGACAUCUCAAUUUUUUUUUUCACUCAUCGUGAAGUCAUCAUUAGCUUAAGAAAUUAAAAAGGAAAAAAAAUAAAUAAGUUUUAAGUCCCUAGAUUAAAUGUUUAAAAAGAAAAGGAAAUUCAAUUAAAAGAAAAAAAGAAAUUUUCAUAUAAACAUUACGCCCCGCGUAAGUUAUAUUACGCCAUGCGUAAUGAACCCCGAAUCGCGAAUGAACAUUUCAGGGGGAUGGGGUUACGCCCCGCGUACCCUUGUGUUACGCCCCGCGUACAUCAGCGACCAGGUAUAUCUCUUGACCCGUUGACUUCUUCUUUAUUCUUUUCACAUCUCCUCUCUCGCACACGAACUGUGACGGCCAAGAGCUCCUAAACAUUUUCGAUUGUGCUUCCUUUCUUGUAAAAUUCGACACACGGAUUAUGGCUCGAAGGGCGCAAAGAACCAACCCUCCCGAGGAUGUGACCGAUCAUCGCUUUUUACAAUUUCCGCAAACGCUGAACGAUGCUACCCGGGCGCGUUAUGUCACCAACUUGAGCUUGCUUCUCACAAAGGAGAUUGAUAUUGCACCCUCAUUCGACUGGGAGUUGGCUACCAGGACUGGACUUGAUGCAUUGAUCCAGGAAUUUUUGCAAUACACACACUCGGACGCGAGUGGUGUGGAAUUGUUUGUGUGUCAGGGAUGGGCGCGUUUGUUCAGGAUCCAGGAGCCUGUGUAUCGGGAGUUUUUGCUGGAGUUCUACGCUACAGUUUCCUAUGAUCCUAGGAAGCCACUCGAUGACAGGACAGCCUUUGCUUUCAGACUGGGAGGAGUGAGCCGGGAAUGCAGCGUGAUAGAGCUUGCUACUCGGGUGGGUAUUUACACAGCCGACGAGACGAGGAGUGUCCACUUCCUGGCAUUCCUUGCUGACUGUCUCACGGAACGGCCAGCGGACUAUAAUGAGAACACAUUUUGGGCCGAGAUUACGGGAGGAGUCUAUACACCAUCUACCGCUCGAGGGGGGAUGAUUCGGUCCACUACAUACCGAAUGUUGCACCGGUUGAUUUCUAUGUCUCUCACGCAUCACAAGAAUAGUGAGAGAGUGCCUUCGACAGACCUGUAUUUCCUAUGGGCACUAGUUACUCCAGGGAGGCACCUGAACCUUCCAGUUGCUUUAGCUGCAUACUUGGGACGGAGGGCCAGGGGACUUAGGGGAGAUAGCCCGAUAUGCGGAGGGCAUUUUAUCACACGGUUAGCUCGAUCAUACCAGUUGAUGACACGUGAGAUCACGAGAUCGAUGGUGUUUCACGACAUGAGGCCGAUGAGUCUUCAGCUAUUGGAGUCGAUGCGCGUAUUAGAGCGGGGUGGUGAUGGUGUUUUGAGAGUUCGAGCAGAUGAUGAGGCAGAUGAGGAGGGUGCUGCCGAGACGGGUCCAGCGGCGUCGACCUGCUCCUCGGGGAGCGCAGCAGGGACCUGAGCGGGAGAUUGAUAUGCGCUACCUGGCUCAGGGCAUUGAUCGUCUUAGCGAGUAUGUUGCACAUGUGGACAUGCAACAGCGGUGGUAUGGGAAUGCGUUGAACGCAUUCUUUGCCCAUCAGGGGUUUCAGUAUUCGGUUCCCUUUCCACCACCAUUCCAGUCACGAUUUGAUGGGGCCGGUACUUCUGGGACACAGCCACAUGAUGAUGGAGAUGACGAGUGAUCCUUUUUAUUUUGUUUUAUUUGUUUUGUGUUAUUUUUAGUUUAGUUUAGUUUUUAGUAUUUGGUAUGUAAUUAAACUUUGAUUUAGUUUGAUUUAGUUUGUUUUCCAUGUUGAUGCUCUUUGGUUGUUUAGAUUUCUGCAGAAUUUUCGCCCUUAGGAAGCUGGCAGUAAGUUCAGCAGCUAGGUCCGACUGUUGCUAGAGAGAGCGGUAUGAGAGUUGAAGAUUAUAGUCGAGACCCACGAUUUGUCAUAAGUGUGGGGUGCAUAUUUAUUUCGUGAGCGAUCGUUUUGAAGAUUGGCAUUGUUACGAUGUUUUGACUCUUAUGAUAUGGAUGAGCAGUUCCCAUACUAUAGAGUUUUAUUUCGACGCGAGGAAGAAGUAUCGUCCCGGCUGCCACGACAUGGUUGACACUUUCCUAUGUUAUGGGGGAUUUUUCAUCGCGAGUAGAGGAUGUCAUUCUUGACGAGACGACGUGGUCGACACUUUCCCACGUCAUGGUUACUAUGCUUUGCAUUUAUUUGCAAUAUUUUGCACCACAUUUUUGAAGAUGGCGGUCUUGAUUUUAUUUUUCGGCAAAUUCAGAGGCAGCAGUUCCAGUUUUCAGUCUUUCGGCGAUAUUUGAAGCAACUUGUAGCAGCCCCAUUCGAUCUCGCCACAACUACCCAGGGGAGUCUGUUCCUUUUUCUCCCUUUUUAUGUUCUUAAUUUGUUUUAGCAUACAAUGAGGGCAUUGUAUGAAAUAAGUGUGGGGUAGGGGAUCGGUAAAAGUAAAUUAAAAUUAAGAGAAAAAUGAAAUUGCUAGAAUUUGGAAAAUUUAAAAAUUUUAAAACUUGAAAUAAUAGUUUAAUUUAGAAAAAUCUAGUGAUAAUUUAAAUUUUGCUAAUAUUGUAUGAAAUGAUCCGAUGAGAACUCAAAUGUUUAGUUGAGCCAAUAUACGUUAUAGUGCAUUUGUGGCCUCCCUUAUUUUAGUGAAAUCAUGGAACAAAAACAUAACCCCGCUUGGUUUGAGGGAUGCAAUAUGUUUAGCAGCCUAAACCUGAAAUGUAUCCAGGAAAAUUAUUAUCAUUAACCAAUAAAGGUUGAGGUUGAGCGCCUCUGCUUAAGCAUGUAGGUUUUGAGUGAAAAAAAAAGAGAGGUGCAUGUAAAAAAAAAGAGAGAGAAUUACGAGUAAAGUUUGAAGAAUUUUGGAGCAAAUAAAGUGAAGAUCAAAAGAUCAAAAUUCUGAAGAAAUCCAAAAAGUUGAAGAUACCAGAAAUCAAAUCAAAUAAGGUGUUGAAUUCAAAGAAAUCAAAGAUCAAAAUGCCAAAGAAAUGAAGAAUUCAAAUAAAGCUCCAUAGUGGUAUCGGAAAUUUGUAAUUUUCUAGAAUAUGUAUGCUUAGGUUGCUCAACUAAAAAUACCUUGAGGUUAGGAGGUUUUCUGCGGAUGGAUUCGGAGGGUUGCAUAAAAUGAGCAUUGUUCGGAAAAAGUGGGCGAGUGUUUAUGAAGAUUGUGAGUAUUUAAAAUAUGGGGGGGUACUUUAGGAAAAUAUUAGACACAAAUGUACGCGUUGAGGUCUUGGCAUAAUGGCUGAGUUUUAAAUGGAUUGUUUAGUGCGAUAUUGGUAAAAUAAAAGUAAAUUUGCUUGGGGGCAAGCAAAGGCUAAGUGUGGGGUAUUUUGAUAUGUGUAUUUUUAUAUAUAUUUUUAUACACUUUAUCUUAAUAUUUUGGCCUUAUUUAUUCUAUUUUAGAACUAAAAAGUACUCAUAAUACUUUGAAUUAUGUUUUGCAGCUAUUUGUUGUCGAUAAAGCACAAAAGAAAAGACUGAAGCGGAAACCGGGCUUAGAAGCUAAAAGAAAGAAAAGAAUGCUGAGGUAGCGAGUACGCCCCGCGUACCUUAAGGUUACGCCCCGCGUACCUGCUUGUGCCAGAUAUACUUGAUCGCGUGAUUAUCUUGAGUACGCGCUGCGUAAUCCUAAGUACGCCCAGCGUACUUAGGUCGGCCACAAAGAUUAUAAAUAUCGAUUUUUAGCUAACCAGGAGGGAGGAUUCGACUUCUAACCUAAUUUAGUCGACAAUUAACUUCUGUUAAGCCGUUUUGAGGGUCUAGAAGGCGGCCGGAAGGCCGUUAAGCUAACGGGAGCGGAGAUCGGAAGGAUUGGAGAGCGGAUACAUGUCGAUUAUCAUAUGGUUUGCUGACGUGACCAUGUUUAGCAUUCUAUUGUGGUACUUUUCUGUAUUUAGUUUCUGAUUUAGGUGUAAAAACCUUUUACUUUGUGUUUAUGAUUGAAUGAAGCUUUGAUUAUUAGACUAAUUGCUAUAUUAAAUAGUUUAUUUGUGUUUAAUUUAUCUUGCCAAGCUUGUUUAAAGAUCCUCAUGUGUUAAUGAUGAUUAUUUUCUGUUAAUUGUUAAGUGAAUUGAGUUGCUUGAACAUCUGCUCGAUUGCUUGUCUCUUAUGAUUUUUGAUGACCAUCGAGAUUAUAAGACUAGAAAUAACGAAUGUGAAACUAGAAUUAAUUUGAGAAUAAGUAAGUUAAUGUGUGAGCCUUGUUUGAUGACCAUCAACAAGAGGUUGAUUAAAUGUCUACAUUGAUUAACUAUAUUUACAAGUCUUGCUUGAUACGAACUGAACACUAGGAAGCAUGUUAGUUUAAUCAACUGAUCACUGUUUGAAUUGACUUGUUUGCUAAAGGAUUAGUUAUAGUGAACGCGAAUCUAAUCAUUUUAGGAAUCGGUGAACAUUGAAUAAAUGAAUUUGUGUAUGCAAUUGUCUAUGUUUUAAGGUGUAAUUUAUCUAAACCCAAGUACCUGAAGAGAUGUGCUUUCCUGUUAGUUUAUCGAGAGUUGUUAAUUGAUUUAUUAAACCAUUUUAUUAUUUUCGUGUAACCUGUAACCUAUAAUCAAAUAUAUUAAAUUAAUCCAUCGUUCCCUGUGAUCGACACCCGACUUACCUAAGCUAUACUGUAAUCUGACUAGGUACACUGCCUAUAAGUGCAUAGAUAGUCUAAGUUUGUUAGGUUAUAAAUAUUAAAAUUAGUGGGUACUUUUGUGCACAUCAUAGAUCAAUCAGUAAUAUAAUGGUGGAUUUCUUGACAAAUCUUAUUUAUAAAUUCAUAACAACGACUAUGAAUUUAAAUAUAAAUUACACUAAAAUAAAAUAGAGUGUAAUUUAACUUAUAGAGAUUCCCUAGACAAAAGUCUGGAAAUUUCACUGGAAGAGCUUCUACUCGAUGGCUACUACUUGUAGGACACUUAGGGGUCACAUGGCUUUGUUGGUAUACUAGAAACUAAGGUAAAAUGGCUAUAAGUCAAAGAAUAUUAAGAUAGAGGGCUUGUAGGGGUGAGAUACGAAAAGCUUAUACGGAUGCGAGUAUAUAUAGCCAAAAAAAAUGUGCUCUGUGCACCCUGUUUGGGUGUGCCCCACACUAUAUCGGGGGUGGUGAUGUGGCGUUCAUCUAGUGGUUACACGUGUCAGGAUCUCAUGGGUCGUCACAUGCACGUCGUGCCUCUUGUCUUUGCACGCAACUGCGUAGAUUUUUAUAAAAUCUUAGAAAUCUCAUAUCUUCUUCAUAUUGGGUUCGUUUUCGAUGGGGUUUAUAUCCACAUGUAGCGAUUGAUGAGAUCUACAACUUUCAGUUAUACUUCUUAGGUAAGUUUUGACUUUAUUUUUAAAGUUAUAUUUGUAAUAGGCGUAGAGUUUUAAAUUCCAUUAAAAAUUAAAAACUUUGUUGUCUGACACCCGUUUUCGACUGUCUUUAUAUCGAAAAACUUUUAUUAAUGUGAUCUUCAAUUCUCGUUUAGAUUGUUUUAGCUAAAAAUCAACCAAUUUAAAAUUCGAUUUCCGUGCUAACACAGUUAUGCUAAAAUAUUGGAAAAGCCAUUACUUCUUCUCAAGAAGUCAAAUUUUGACGUUCACUAUAUGCACGCUCUUUGUUUUACGGUUACUACAACUUUCGUUUAGACCACUAAGGCUAAUAAGUGACCUAUCUCUAAUUGAGUAUUUACGACACUCGAUGUUGUAUCCGGUCGAACGCGAAACUUCAAUGAAUCGUAACUUCUUUGAGAUAUGUCGGAUUAGAGUGUUCUUUAUAUCUUUGGAAUUCUCGUCACGACUACUUUCUCUUUCAUUAAGGAUAUUGGCCUAAUUAUUCUUCUAUUUUAGAUGUGUAUUUUAUUCCUAUUUUAUUAUAUCGAUUUAAGAUGUAUCACUACUAGAAAAAUACAUUUUAAUAACACCCAUUGCGUGUUGUAAAAGGGUACAGAUGACACACAAAUGUGUGUCAAGGAAGGCCCUGUCAUAAACGAAGACGACACGCUUUUGCGUGUCGUAAACUUACGACGCGUAUUUACGACACGCAUUGCGUGUCAAGGAAGGCCUUUGUAUAAAGGAAUACGACAUGCAUUUGCGUGUCGUAACCUUACGACGUGCGUUUAGGACAUGCAUUGUGUAUCAUUAAAGCCCAUGUCAUAAAUGAAGAUGACAUGCAUCUGCGUGUUAUAAAUGAAAAUGACACACAUUUACGUGUCAUAAACUUCAACAACCAUUUACGAUAUACAUAUAUGACGUGCCUUUACGAUACUCAUUUACGCAUAGUACAAAAUAUAGAAACAAAUAUGUACCAAAACAAUCAAUUUAAUCCAAUAACAUCAUGCCAAAAAAUUAUAAUACAAUUAUAUUAAGGGGAUCUGCUUGUACAUUGUUAUUAAGAGGUUUUCCCUAACUAUAUAACUUUAUACUACAUUGCUAUUAAGGGGAACCUUCUUGUUUCAGAUAUCAUGUCAAAAAACAUUCUUUAUAUCAUUGGUUUGCCACAUGGUCUACUAGGCUACUGUCCACCGGGCGUGGAUGGCAAGUAAUGACUUGAACAUUAGCUAAAACAAAAAAGCUUUUAUUAAUCACACAAUCAAGUUUAGCUAUCUGAUAGAGUUGUUAUAUAAAUAUGUUAGUAACUAAUUUGAUCAGAUCAACAUAAGAUAUAACAAGUUGAAUAACAAUAUACUCUCUAUUCCUCCUGGAUUCGUGUUACUGCAUAUUUGUCCUCUAGAUGCCUUCUCUUUACUUCUAAGAAGAGCAACUAUCAUGGCCAUCACUUUUGCGUCAAAUAUCACAACACGCUUCAAUACAUCUAGAUGUAACAGGUUCGUAUGUGCAAACCUUAAAUGUAAAAAUUUAAUUAACAUAAGUACACUAUUUUAUGGACUACAAUACUAACAUUGAUCAUGCCUUAUUUAUCAACAAAAAGUGACGUUCAUAUUCAUUUCCUCCAAUACGCCUACAACAAUAAUAAUCAAUCAAUUGUACUCGGAUUUUAUAGAGCACAAAAAAAAAAGAAUUUUUAGAAUUAACUGAUGAUGAAUUUUCUCAACAUACACUAUAGACUAUUGAAAUAGACAUAUAAUAGAAAUAGGGGUUUUAGCUGAAAGAAAUUCUGCCAGGUCAACUACAACUAUCAUAGAGUUGUUUUCUUGUUUAAAGUGUAAACACACUUGCUGGAGUGUGCACAUAAUUUAUAAAUGAUAAUGUUGUAACUUGUAUGAUAUGUCUACAAUUAAUAGGAAAAAAAUAUGAGUAAAAUCAACAAUUUUUAAAAGGAUGAAUAAAUUAGGAGGUUACCAAUUUUUGAGUGUCACAUAGGAGACUACACCUUGUAUCAAAUAUCAACAAUAGGACAAUGGUUUGUGUGGAUGCAAAUUCUGAAAAGAAUAUUAUAAGAAAUAAUUGUAAACGAAAAUGAAUAUAAAAAAAUAACACCCAAAUGAAAUAAUUGAAUUAAUUGUAAACGAAAGUGAAAGUCAUAUGCAGAUGCAAAUCUUUCUAUAAGACGAAUGAAAAUUUCAUAAGUGGGUUGAUUCUUCCUUUGUCUAAAAAAAAUACCCAAAUCAAAAGCUAAAAAAGUUUACAAAAUUCGAUAAAUGCAUCAAACAGACGUUAAAUUAGAAUGAGAAUGGGACACCUGGUUUCAUUCUGCCAAACCAUCUAAGGAUCCAAACUCCAAAGUUUUUUGUAACCCUUUGUAAGCCGGUAAAGUUAAGUACUUUCAAACCUAUAUUACUUUUUCAUACCCAAUAAUAUUGGCAGCAACACUUCUACUGAUGACCUUGCAUCAAUCUUCAUUGCUUCGAAUCCACGUGGGUUGAAAUAUAAAUAAGAAUACAAAUAGAUUAUUUUAACUCUUCCACCAGGUAUGAAUAUAAUUAAUAAAGUUCCAUAUAUUACUACUGAUUUUUUUUAAUGUAUAUGGAAUAUGAACCAAGUUUAAGGGGGCAGAUAUGAAAUCCAUACUCCUUUUGAUUAGACUCAAAAUAAAAAACGGCCAAUUAGGUGUUCAAAGCCUUAGAAACUUACCUCAAAAACCAAGAAAGCUAUUCUAACAGAAGCGACCUAGCCAAUGCCCACUCGACUCCUUCACUUCUCUCUCGUGUAAAUCUAGUAGUUCUAAAUUUCUAAAUACAAAGGAGGAGGACAAAAUGAGUUCAAACACAACUUCAUAUAUAACAUAAAAAUAUUAGAAUUCACUGAAAACUUUUAGCAAACACCUGGUGGGGAAAUGUUUGAACAUGUAAUCAAACUUAUUGCACCUGAUGAUUGUGUUCCAGUAGCAAAAUCGGAAAAAAAAAUUGAUGCAAAAUUGAUUUUCGACAUAGAAUUGGACAAAGAUUCCAACUUUUUCAACAUUCGAGAAUCUUGAAGUGAAAAUAUGAAAACAUACCCCAUAAUUCUUGGAUUGUGUCCACAUCCUAAUCUCUUCAUUAUUGUCUUAUUGUAAAUUUUCCAAUCAUAUAUGACGUGGCAAUUGAAGCCUCAGAACAACAAUGAAGCAACAUAGUGAAAAAAUUACAUAUAACUCCUUUAUAGAUUUACUUUUACUUAAUUGUUUAUAUAAAAAUCACAUUAUUAAGAAAUUUCAAUGAAAUAAAGAAAAAAAAUCAUUUUUUCCAAACCAAACCCUAGAUUCCAAACGCACGUGGAUGUGUGUUAUUUUGCAUUAUCGACCAUGGAAGAUGCACCAACGAAUCAGAAAGUGAUUGGAAACCAAGAGUAGAAUAAAAGAAAUUGCAGAGAAAAAAAAGCCAUACCUACAUAGCAUAACCUGAAGAGUCAAAGAGAAGAACCCCCAAUGACUAAGCACAACUGUCAAUAGGAAGAGAGCACCAUAAUACCACAUAAACAGCAAAUCCCUUAUCGAUCUCGUACUAACCUUUUGAUUAAUAAAUAGUCAAAUCAAAAUGGUAAUAUUGGUCAUGGAGCUGGUGAUGUUUCUGGUGAUGGAGAUGCAUAAUCUCUCCGCUAAUCGCUGACUUCAGAGCGUCAUAAUCGUAUGUGAGAUCUGGAAGCGUAACCGUCCGCAGUCCAUGAAGCAUAAUCGUUAGAAUCGACCUAGGGUUCUCCCACAAUUGACUAGUAUUCGAAGAGACAUUGGUGGUAGGUCAUGGAAGCAUGGUUGUAGAACUCGCUACUCGGCACCUACUCGGCCGACUACCACGUAGCGAGUACUCGGGAGUACUCGGAUUUGGUAAUUCAUAUAGAAAUAGUUUUAGGGAAGUUAUAUAUGUCAAAAUCAUAAGUUAAAACCAUAAUUUGAAUGAAAUAUAUUACAAAAUUAGAUACAUGUGAAUACACAAAAACUAAAAAAACACACAAUGGUCCCACUUCGUGAAUAAUUAUUGAAAAUUUAAGAUAUAUAUGUAGUAAUAAUCACAUAUAUGUGUGUUAAAUAAUAAAUCAUUAAGUAUACUAUACAUAUUAAUCACCGAGUUGGCCGAGUUUUACAACAAUGCUCGCUUCAAUAAGGUGCAGAUCGAGGAGUACUCGGAUUUUGUAACUCACCUCAGUAAGGGGCUAGGUAGCGAGUACUCGGACGAGUACUCGGGAAAAUCGGUGAGUUUUACAACACUGCAUGGAAGAGAGAUUGUUGAUGGCGGGGUUUUCAAAUUUUCAAAUUUUUUAGGAAUUCCUUUUCCCACUGCUAUAGCUAUUAAAGAUGGAGAGAAUGUAGAGUUGAAUAGGGCAGCUAAAGAUGCGUGCGUUUCAUUAAAAAAAUAUAAAAUAACAUGAUUUCACGACAUGCUUUUUAUGAUAGGUUUCCUCCGUGUUUUUAUUUUUUUUGUUGUGACACUAAUUUUAGGGCACGCAAAAGUGUGAAUCCUAAAUCCUUCAAAUUUUGGGAGUGCUGACAUUGUUUUUAGGGCACACACUUUUGCGUAUCAUAAAACAGUGCGUGUCAUGGUUCGCGUGUCAUUAAAGGGUAUUUUUCUAAUAGUGAUAUACUACAUAUAAUAACGCAUAAACCACAUAAUACUCAAAUAAUUCUCUCUAUUUGUUAUUAUAAAGGGUUACAAUAGUUGAGUAUUACAAUUACAUAAUUUUAUUAAUGUCUAGCAAGAAACGCGAGCGUUACAAUCGGGUCAUAAUUUAUCAAGUCAUAAAGUUGGCCCAAAAAGAUAAAACUCCUAUUUUACCCUUUUGACCAAAAAUGCAUCUUUUGCUGAAUUUUUUCUUUUAAACCUGCUCAUCUAACAUCAUAUUAGUGACUUAAACUUAUAUUGGUCAUUUUCAUGAAGUUAUCACUUCAUAAUCUUAUAUUCUUCUGAUAAAUGACCAAAUUUCCCUUUCGGUCAAUAUUUGACUAAAAGUCAACUUUUGCUAAAUUUUAGGUUCUUACACCUAAGUCUUUCAUUUUGGAAACACUUUCCGAGUCAAGGAGAAAUGGUCUUCCAUAAUCGGAAUAUAAUUUACCAUAAUUAAGUAUGUCUUAUUCAUACAAGAUUAGGAAUAUCGCUAUACUCCCACUAGUUCUCAGUAAACACAAACAUUAUCUUCAUUUUGAUGUAAAACAUACUUUGUGUUUUCAUAAUUAGAAUCAUGAUUCCAAACGUGAGAUGUUUGCUUUAUAUCCAUACACUACUAAAAAACAGCCCUUUAAUGACGCACAAACAAUGACGCACAUUGGUUUAUGAUGCAUUUAUUGCAUGUCCUAAAAAUAAUGUUCGCUUUUGAAAAUUUGAAGGAUAGAGGACACGCAUUUGUGGGCGCCCUAAAAUUAUUGUCUAAUAAAUAAACUAGAAACACAAAGAGCACCCAUCAAAAACGCAUUUCGUGUAGACCUUGUCGUUUUAUAAUUUUCAAACACGCGUCCGGAUAUUAAUUCCUACCACAAAAUCGCUACCAGAUAGACACUCAACUCACCUCUCAUUUUUCUCCUUCGUCUCUCUCGUAAACACUAGUUUCUAUCAUCAAUGCUAUUCCCUCACCGGCAAUCUCAUCUAACACCUAUCUAUUCGUUCACUUUUCUAAUGGCGUCAUGAGAUCUAGAGAUCGAAGAAGGAGGCGAAGGCAUCAAUAAUUCGUAUGGUUAAUAUUAGCUUCAGGCAAUCUUUCAUGUUUGCCUCUUCCACCCAAAUCCUUCAAUGAUGGAGUCGCCAUACAUUUGGAUUCCGAUAACUAAAGCUCCACAAUAAGCCGUAGUACUAGUCAUUUCUUACUUCAACUUUAUCCUCCUUUAACCCUAGUUUUCUAUUUAGUUUUUUACAGCCUUUGCUUUGUCAUCACUUCCAUCUCCCAUGGUCACCUCUUUCUAUCUUCCAUCAUUGUCCCAAGAUGUCUUCAUUGUUCCUCCUGCGAUCUCUUCCAUCAGGUAAGUUGUCGGACCAUCUUAACUACUCAUUCUCGACUAUCUCUAUUCCCACUCUUUUUUUUUCUUGAAUUUUAUUCUAUGUUCUCCCUUUUCUUUUGAAUGAUGUUUCUAUGUUGAGAAAACUUCAAUUGAUUCCAUAAAUUAGAGUUGUUUAUGGGUUACACCCUCUUCCCGAGUCUCAAUUAACAAGGGAAGUGGAUGAAUUUUGGGAGGAUAUAACAAUAAUCUUUACUAUAUCUACUACUCUCUUCUUUCAAUAAAAAUUCAACUUUUGGAAGUCUUCGAUUGUAACAAAAAUAUCAGACACCAUUGUGUUGAACAAAAAUGGAUUGGUGCUUACCGAGGUAUUUUUAGGUUACACUAAACAUGAUUAUAUCUUACAUGAAACAACUCAUAAUCAUAAGUGUAUAUUUUGUUUAUGAUUUUAUCACUUUGUUUUUUAUUGGAUAACAUAAAAAGGAAACCUUGUGUUUGUAUGUAUUCUAAAAAUAUGAAAGGGAAGAGGGACAAACAUAGAAUGGGUUCUUGACUUUCUCAUAUAUCAAAGGCACUCAGCAGCAAUUUCUUUCUAUCAAUGUUACAAUGCUAUCAACGUUACAAUAUGUAUGUAUCCUUUUCUAACUUUUUUUUAAAGAUUUAAGAAUUUCAAAUCCAUGUAUCCAUAUUUAGUAAGCAAUAAGACAUGUGAUUUUGAAUGGGAUUGGAUUUGGCAUUCCAGAUUGUUUGGCCUGAAUGCGAUUAGCAGGUUGUUUCACUGACUAAUUUGAUCAGUAUUGCGAGUGUUAAAAAACACAUAGAAAGGAUACUCUAUGUAUCCAUCCUAAUAAAGUGCAACAAAAAGGAGCUACUCUUCAACAGAAACAUGUCGUCGAGAAGGUUCUCGACCUCCUUAAGGUACCCUACCCACUUUUUUCAAUUCUUACCCUAUUUUCUGAUGCUUCUAUUAUGAUUAGGAAUCAGGAUCAGGUAUAGGUAUAUAGCCUUUGGUAAUUCAAUAUCUUCUACUAAAAGUAAGACAAUUAAACCAUCUCUCCAUAUUUCAGAAAGUUAUUUUUAAUUAACAUGAAUGAUAAUUAACAAAAGUGAUAAAAGAGAACUUCUAGGUAACUUGUGGUUUAAUGUGGUUUGCCUUUUCUGAAUAAAGAUGAUCAUGACACGGGGACACCUACAAUUUCUUAUCUUGUUUUGUUUUUGGUUUGUUUAACAUGACUUCAUGCUUCUUUAGUAGCAGCAAGACAGCAACUGUAAAACUUUAUUUGAUCUAUACAUUACCUACUGAUAUUUCUUGUGAUGAAAACUAGUUGUGAUUAUUACAUCCAUGGUCUAGUUCUUGUUUUAUGGUCAAAUUUAUUGUUACUGUUGAUUUUUUUCAUACAGUCGGCCGUUUUAUUUAUUUAUUUAUUUAUUUACUGAGAUAAAAUUAAAUUUAUCAAAGUAUGAAGGUGUAGUCUGCAACAUAACUCCAGUUUUAUUGGAUUUUUUUUCUGCCAUGCAUUUGUGGACCUGAACCGGUUUUAGAACCAAACAGUGAUGCAAACAUUUGAACCGAAUGUUUGCACAGGUCUUGUUAGAAACUAAAAUUAUGUAUACGCUUGUUCUUUCUUUUAAAAAAAUUUAGCACACUUAUAAUAUCUACUGGAGGAUUCUAUUUGUUGUUUGUUUGAUUACUUUUGUAAGGUAUUAACCUGGUUCUAUUAAGAAAAAUGUGCAGUGGUAGAAGAAACAUGGAGAAACUGGAAAGAGGAAGAACAGGGGAAAAUGAAACGUCUCUACAAAAUCGCUUGAUUACUAAAAUUUAUUAAGAAACAUGAAUAAAAACUUAACAUCAAAAACGUUUACCCUAUUUAUACUACAUAAAACAAAAUCCCAAUCUAACUAAAAUACUUACAUUAUGACGGUUUUUCCUAAAAUGCCCCUGGGGCCAAUUUGUAAUAGAUUCUGAAUUAUCCUAAUAGCUUUUAUUAUAAUUUUAGCUAGUCUAAAGGAUACUCCUUUGGAGCUACUUUAACAGCGAGUGGAAAAUUAAUAUUGUAGUUUCAUAUAUUUUUUUCUACCACAAAUCCUCAUCAAGGGAAAAGUCGUCCAAUUCAAGGCAACUUUAUAGGAAACUUAAUCUUAUUGAUUUGGCAAGGUUAGAAAAAUAUUUCUAAUUAAUAUGCAUUAUAGUUUAUUUCCUUAAUAGAGGAAGUAUUUUAAUAUCAGUCAAAUAUCUAAUUAAUAUGAAUGGGAGUGGAAUGAAAUGUUGCUUUUUAUAGCAUGUUAAUCAAGUGGUUGAGCUUGAAAAGAAGUGUAAAACAAUAGUUGAAAAAGAGCUUCAUCAAAUUUUUAGAUAUUAAUUAGGUACAUGGAUAAAGCAUUCUACCCAAAUUGUUGAUUGUGUUUUUUAAUUAUAAGUAACUGAAAUAAACAAAUUUUGUUAACCAAAAUUUUAGCAUAUUUGAUGGCGUAAAACUAGAAGGAAAAAAAAAAGAGUAAGUAGUACUUAUAUGCUAAAAUCUCUAAAUGUAGUCAUCGUUAACAAUAACUCUAUCAUUUGUGUUAUAAAGUUCAUCUACAAAUCCUUUAAGAUUUCUCAUAUUUUCAUAUGCAUAAAGAUGUAGAAGUUUGUUAUCAACUUCAUCCUCCGUAAUUUCUAGCACCUGUGGAGGGUAUUCUGAGAAUAAAGCAUGUUAAUCAAGUUCGAUUGAUUUUCAAAUCUAUGAAGAAUACAAAAGUUGCACUCUAUAGUUGUUGUGAUAUUUUCAAUGCUGGUAAAUCUUGCAUGAAACGUGUUAGUUUACUUCGUUUUUAUUUAGUAAUUCAUAUUUCUUGUUAUUGAGGUUGAGAUAUGUUUAUUCAUUGCAUUCAUGCAAUAUAUUUCCACUUUUUAAGCAUGAUCAAUGUACUAAGUGGUGUUUUUUCUUUUUUUACAGAAUCGAAAUCUAAACUCAAAGAGGAAAUUUAUACACCCUGAGAGUAGAAAUGAAUUUGUGAAGGCUAAUUAUGUAAGAUCUUACAGACGAAGUUUAGAUAAUCCUGUAGUAUCACUUCGUUUAUCCAGGUUGUCACUUUUGUACUUUUGACUAAUGCACCAAGCACAUACUUGCCAUCCAUACCACCUAGUGGACAGCCUCCCAUGACACAAAGUUUAACAUUUUUAUCUUGUAAACCUGGUGGCAAACCAAUGACAGCAAGGAUUGUUUUGACAUGAUAUGUAAAACAUUCAAUAUAUUACAAUUAUUUAGCAUUUGAGAGAUUAUUUGUAUUUGAAAUAGUAUAUAAUAUGAAAUAUAUUGUCCUUUUUGUGUAUGAUAUGAUAUUUCGUAUGAUGGAACAUUAAUUGUCAUUUAAUUUGAAAAAAAUUGUAAAUCUAUUUAAAUAUAUAUUUUUGAAACAUUUAAAAUUAUGACAUGCAAAAAUGUGUGUUGUCUUCCGUUAUGGCAGAGGCUUCAACGAUAUGCAACGUGAGUCCUAAAUGCUCGUCAUAAGGUUACGACAACCAAAUGUGUUCCGUCUUCCUUUAUGAUAGGGCAUUCCUUGACACGGAAUGCAUGCCGUGGAUGCACAUCGUAAUUUUACGACAUGCAAAUGUGUGUCAUCUACCUUUAUGACAGGGCCUUCCGUAGCACACAUUUGUGUGUCAUCAGUGGGUUUUAUGACACACAAUGCAUGUCAUUAAACGGUGUUUAUGUACUAGUGAUAAAUGGAUUUUAAAUCUUGCACGCUUUGUUAGGAUAUAUUGGAUUAACAAAACCUUCAUGGCUCUAAGUCAUUUAUCAAAUUCUAAGUCUGAUAUAUAGUAUUUUAGUAGUUAAUGAGUUAGCCAGAAAUCAUCAAGAACGUCUUAUCAAUGAGAAAUUUCAUAUUUCUCAUGUUAUAGAUGAUUUAGACCAUAUAUACGAACAAUUUGUGUUUCUGAAUAACUAUUAUUUAUGUUCAAAAUUUUAUUGUUAAAACUAGUGUCAGCUCUUGCUACAUCAGGUUAUGGUUCUUGAUAUAGUUCAAGUUCCAUGUGCCUCCUACUUACUUUGUCAUUAGAAGCAUGCUUUCUGAUAGCUCAACUUUUAGAGGAAUAAGAAAACUUAUUCUUGGUGGUUUGUAUAAAUGUAAUGUCCUAAUUUUCACAAUAAAUUUUUGAAUUUUUUUUAAGUAAGAUACCAUACUUCAGAAAACCAUCCAUCAAAACCUAAUUGUUUCAAAAUCCAACAUCCAAAAAUCAAAGUAUCAAAUAACAAUGCAGAAUUCCAAAUUACAAAAGCUACUAAUGUAUGUGUAAAGUCACUCCAUCGCCUUCUCAUGAUCACCAGAAGUACCUAAAAGAAUUAAUCCACAACUGUAAGCCAAAACUUAGUGAGUUCCCCAAAAUACCACGUACAAAAAUAUACAUACAAUCAUAUAGGCAACGGAUCCGUACCAAUCCAAAAGGUAUCUAGGUUCACAAUAGUUUAGUUGAUCUUACCAUCAACUCAACCCUCAUGAAUGUCUAGGCUCACAACACUUAAUGAUGAUCUUGUCAUCAAUUCACCCCUCGUCCAUAAACAUCAUGUUGGUCCUCCUGCCUAUUGGCAAUCCGCACAAAGUUGGAUGCCUCAUCCCUUCACAAAUAUAUCAACAUAUGCAUAAUACAGAUAAGCAGACGACUCAUCAUUACAUUUAACAAUAUACAAGUCUACUUCCCUAACAACAUACAACAACACAAUCUCAUCAUGCAGAAAACUCAUACUGCACUCUACACUGAUAUUAGCAAAUCACCAAAUGAAUGCAUAAUUAUAUGUAAUCGGAGAUAAGAUAGACAGUCAAAUGGAUGAUCCUACCCGAAAGCCAUAACUAAACAAGUAACAAGCGAGAAGGCCUAGAUAGAGAGUUCUCAGGCAACCUCACUUGAGUACAUACAACCCCUACAACAUUCACUCAACGAUAACAAAUCUUAUCAACACUUUAACCAACAUACCAUUAGUCCGCUAUAUACUAUCAUACAAGAGCAUAUAGUCUAAUACUUAGUAUAGUACGGAAACUCACCUGCGCUAAACAACAUAACAGCUAAUGCAAGCAACCUAAUGACAAACCAUGACCAGUCCUUAGUCAAACAAUCAAAUCUACUCAAGUUUGACCAAAGGUUAAACUGGUCAAAAAGUCAAUGGUCAACCUUCCCACACCACCACGCCAUGACUAGCCCAUGGUCGCGUUAUGAUUGCUAAAUGAAAAAGCAUUCUCAUGGCCACUCAUCCCACCAUGGCAUGAAAACGCCUUUUCCAUUUCAUGGUUACGUCCAAAACAACUUACUUUAUUAAGCACUUAAUCCUUAAACUCUAAAGCUCAAAAGCUCAUAUCUAACGACUCUAAUGGUCUUAAUGGAUAAAGUUUCCAACUUUAUUGAUAUUUCCAUAUUUAGCUAUACAUUUUAUGGGGUAUUUUAGUGUUUUUAGCUACAUUAAAGAUAAAAGAUACGUAUUAUGUUUAAAAAAAUUUUAUAGCAGCGAAGAUAUGCUCAGGAUAAAAGGAUCGAAAAUGGGGAGUUGGAAGCGGGAUUGCUAAAAAGAGUAAAAAAAAAGUCAUAUCAUGGAUGAAUUAAGGUACCACAUCAUGGUCAUCAGGAUUUCCAUGACAUGGGGAAGGGUCUUGAUUCAAUAAACUCAUCUGAUAAAGUACAUGUCAGGAAUCUUGGAGGACACACGAAGGAAUCGAUACCAUGUCAUGGUCAUAUGUUCACCAGGGCGUGGUGGAGUAUUUUAAGGUAACUGUAAGUGUUUGACAUUCUCUCAUUAUCUAUCUUAUCAAAAAAGUAUCAUUUGAAUGCUGACGACCAGAGAACCCUUCUAGAGCCUUUGGAGAUCAUAGAUCGAUUGAGGAGCUAGAGUCGAAGAGAUCGAGAGCAUACCCACAAUUAAUCAUUCGAUUUGCUUUGUUCUAAUCAUAUUUUACAAAGUCUACUAUGUUUUUUAUUGUUCUUCUACUUUAGUUAUGGGCUAAAAACCCUUUGCUUUCAUUUAGAAUAGAUAAACCUUAAACCUAUGUGUUGUUUUUGAAGAUUUCAGAUUUAAUUUAGUCGUUUAUUUAUUAUGCUUACUUGAUAAAGAUUCAAUCUUUUCUACUUUCAUUUAGAGUAGAUAAACCUUAAACCUACAUUUUCUUAUUGUUCUUCAUGUGUUAAAGUUUCAAUCUUUUCUGUUUAUUGUUGAGUAUCAUUAGGUUUAGAUGAUCAAUCUAUCUUGAUGUGCUUGAAUCAUAUGAUUUUAUGAAUUAUAAAAUUGCUUGACUAGGGUUUGACCAAAAUCCUAGGGUUAAAUAGAAAAUUUGGCAACUUUAAUGCAUGAGAUUAUAUGUGAUGAUCAUACAUGUAUAGAUAAUUGGUGUCAUUAUCAUUACUAUCAAAUUAGAAUUCAAGUCUUUCUUAAUUCGAACUAAAGAUUGAUAUAUAUGAAUACUAGUUCACUUGAUCACUACAAUUGAUAGUCUUACUAAAAGAAAGGAUUAGUACUUUGAACAUUAUACUAGUCAUAUUAGGAAUUGGUAACAAUGAAAUUGAAUCCAUUGCACUAUAAUUAAAAUCAACCAUAUGGAACGAGUGAAUCAAAUCUAGACGGAAGUACUCUAUAUAUCUUGUUUUAAAAUCAUUAUUUUCUUUGUUUUUAGUUCAAAUAAUUGUUUGCUUUCUAGCUGUCUAAAAGUUGAUGUUAAGAAGUUUUAUGAACUUUAAAAUAAAAAAAUAAAAAAAACCCUCUUUUACAUUAUUUUUCUAGUUACUUAGUAUUAGAUACUAUAGUCUUAAAUCAUUCUCGUUUCCCAAGUGUCCAAUAAUCAGUAUUUACCAUCUUUAUAUUGUCAAACGAAUAGGCUCACUUGUCAAUUUGUGUAGCAGUUAGAGUUGUUAAUAAGUACAAUUUCAUAGGUAUAAACUAGUGUGAAAAUACACAUCAUUUAUACAUUAUCAUGUCUCAGAUGUACCUAAAAUCAAAACCUAACUUCAAAGUGAACCAAGACACAUGCUUGGCCUCAAGAGGAAGCAUGAAGACACACCUUUAUUCUAACACUCAAGUCUAGAAGUCACUUGGGUCACUUAAAUGGUUCAGGAGUUGCUCAACUCCAAAGAUAUCUGGGAAAAGGACUCAAAACCACCCAAAAGGUGCAUAAACUUAGAUCUAGAAAAAUCAAAGGUCAAGGUUUGAACUCCAUACCUCAAAUGACUCAAAAAUCUAAAGAAUAUGAUGGAUCUAAACUAGCUCUUGCUUCCUUGCACCAAGAUGGAGUUCCUUCUACCUCAUGUUUCAAAAAAUCAAGAGAAUAAGUUAAAAAACCAAGUAUGGUGGCUAGGGUUUGGGAGGUUAACUUUCUCAGAGGAUGGGGGCUACCAAACCAUCUAAGGUUUUGAACCCCAGCCACCACUAUGUCAUGGCUAACCCUCAACCACACCAUGUUCACUUAAAUGACAAAGCCAAUUAAUUGAUGUGGCUACUCCAUGGUGGUUCUCCAUUACCACAUUGCGGUCAGUCAAACUCCCAAAAACUUCAAGACGUAAAAUAAAAAAUGAAAAAGGAAAAUGCAUGAAAAAUGGAUGUUACAUUAAAAUGAUCUAAAUAGCCCAUUUAGAUUAUUCUACAAAUAUGUAUUUAGUAAAUCUUGAAUUUAAAAUCUUUUGUCUUACAUAGGUUUCAAAUCCUCAAAAAAUUAAGUAAUAUAUGGAUCACUUUCCAAACAAAAUCUUAUAAAGUAUUUCAUCAUUCUUUUUAGUUGGAGUUGCAUUCAAAAUACAAGUUAUAGUGAUUAAUGUAUAAUCCCAAAAGUAUAAACACUACUAGAAAAUACGUGUUUAAUGACACACAAACUAUGACACACACGUGAUAAAGAUACGCAAAAGUGGGUGCCGUAAAAAAUUGCCAUCUCUUAUAAAAUUUAAAGGAUAUACAAUAUGCAUUUUUGCAUGACAUAAAAUUAGGUGUCGUUUUAUAAUUUUUAUGUAGAUAAACGUUCUUAGUAGCUAGAGGUAAAAUGAAAUCCCAAAGUUAGAAAAGCCCGCUUGUUUUUUCUUAACCAUGUUUUCGUUAUCAUGACCUAAAAUUAGGUCUUCACAGUUCAGAUAUCUCCAAGGAAUCCUCUCACUUUAAGCGCCAAUGAUUCAUGAUUAUGUGAUUCCUCGCUCACCUUCUUCUCUCUCUUCAUCAUUUCCAUCUCCUUCUAUCUUGGUUCAUGUCUUCACAAAGUUGACGAAAAGAACUAGGCAUUUGAACCACAUCUCAAUAAAUUGUUCAGAGACAUCCAGUGGCUCCUCUCACUCAAAAAAUCAUCGAUUGAGGGUUAUGUGACUCCUUACUCUCCUCAUUCUCUCCUUUCCGUUGUCGGAUGUCGCCGUCUCCUUCUAUCUUUGCCCUUCUACUUCUCCCCUAAAAAUUCUCAAAAGUAAUAAUAAAGGUAUUUGGUUUAGCAUUUUGAUUUUGAUUCUUCAUGUGAAUCUAUUCCCAUUAAAACCCAAUGCAUAUUUCAAAUUCGAUAUGGACAACCUUCCUGUAAGAGUUCUAUCGUAUUUAUAGUUUAUAUAUUUUCCUCUAUCAGCAGGCUCCACAAGAAUGAAAUCAUUUCCAGGUGUCAAGGUAAACAUUUUUUUAAUAUAGUACUAAUUGUAAAAAUAAGUACAUAUGAUAUCAUAACGAGAGUGACAUCAGUUUUUGGCUAUAUUAUUAUUAAGUUUGAUUAUAAAUUUAUUUAUGUUAUGUUAUUGAGAGGUUUUAAUGAAUGUUGUAGGAAUACAUGUUGAGAGCAGAGUUUAGACUUUCGAGUAUUACAGCUAAAGAAGCAGUACUUGAGAGAAAGGCUCAUAUUCGCAUCAAGUUUGAGAUACCUUAUUUUACAAUUUCAGGAAUAAGGUAACUCCUUGUGCAAUUUAUAUUGGAUCAUCGUCAUAUUUUAUUAAAGUGAAGAUGGUUUUGGUUUUUGUAGGUGCGUUACCUGAAGAUCAUUAAACAAACAUUUUGAGUUAUUGGUAUGUUUUCCAGUGAGCAAGAAGAGUUACUCUUCAAACCUUUAGUUGUUGGAACUUUAAUGGGGUUAAUGAAAAAUGAAGAAAUCUAAAUUUAUUGUCGUUUUUUGGUUUUAGUUGAAAGAAGAAGAUGCGAUUAGUUAUGAAGUCGUUUCAAAAGCAAUAUGAGAAGCUUUCUGAUUUGAAGCACCAAAACAUAAGGUAAUUACAUUUAUAUUUUUACCUGGAAAUGUUUUAUGUUCUUGGUAAUUGACAAACUGAUUCAUCGUAAACUGUAAGUAGUAUACUAUCUCCCUAUUCGUGUGAUUAGGUUACUAGAUUCAUUGGUUGUAUUUGGAUUCUUUGCUCUAUUUUCAAGUAUUACUAGAAAUACUUGUUUUUAUAUAUAUAUAUAUANNNNNNNNNNNNNNNNNNNNNNNNNNNNNNNNNNNNNNNNNNNNNNNNNNNNNNNNNNNNNNNNNNUAUAUAUGAUAAGUGUCAUCUUCCAUUAAUGCAAACAUUUUUCAAACCGUAUAUAAACUCAAGAUUUGUUGAGCUUUUAUAUCAUAACUAACAGCUUCAAAUUAAUUUAUUAUCCGCUGAUUUUGUUUUUUUAAAGUUGACUUGGGUUGUAUUUACCAUUUUACCCUUUUCCUUCCUUAUAUUUACAAUUUUAAACGAGUUAAUUGUUUGCUUGUUUCUGUUUAAGUGAGUUAUUGAUAUACACUUCAUUUUAUCAGGUGCAUUAUGUUAUUAAAAUAUAUAUAAACAAGAGUUUUUGUUGAGCGGAGCUAAAUUACAACAGGUAUGUUUUACAGUGAAUUACAACAAGUAACUCUUGAAAAUUGUUAUAAAAAAAGAUUGGUUUCAAACAAACAUUAUAGAAGGUUAAUUAAUUCUCUUCUCUUUUUUGUUUUAGUUUUUAGUCUUUACAAUUACCUUUUCAUUUCUUGUAUAUUUAUAUUAUGGAAAUAUUAAGUUAUACAUUUAUUCACUUUUCCAGCAAAGGCACAAAAAAUGAGGAUGAUGAUGAUUUUGAUGUAUCUUUGUUUCUAUAAUGGUCUUUAUGUGUUCUGUUAUCUACUAUUCCUUUUGAUCAUGAUGCCUUGGUUAUUUCUUGUCUUAUGUGAACAAAUUUUCCUUUUGAACAUGAUGCCUUGGUUAUCCAUGACUUUAUUUGUUUAUAUAUUCUACAUGUUCCAGACAGAGGAUAAAUAUGGUAAUUUUUGUCUCGAGUGAGCUUCAUUUUUGUGGUAUAAUGCAAAGUGUAGAAUAUCAACUUCCUAACCUUAUUGUUUGAUCUAUUAUAGGAUAGAGAUGCCUUCUUUAAAUACUAUAUGUACAAUCACACAAGAAGCUUUGAGAGCUUGGGUUUACGUUCACCCCACUUCUCUCGAGUCUUCUUUAUUUACAGAAACUGUUGUAGGAGUUGUUAUUUUUUGGUCAUCCUCAGUUACUUUUAUAAACUUAAUAGAAAUUACUAAACUGAUACAUCACAAUUUUUUGGAUAAUGGAAUUAUUGAAUGUGAUUCAGUUUGAAUAUUAGUGGAUUUAUUAAUUUAUUGUAAGAAAUGGAUUGUUUUGUUAUAGACGUAUUUUAUUUUAUAUUAUGAUACAUUAACUGUCAUUUAAUUUGAAAACUAAUAAAUCUAUAAUUUUAUUUAAAACACUUAAAAAUUAUGACACACAAAAAUGUAUGUCAUCUUCCUUUAUAACAGAGGCUUCCUUAACAAGCAAUGCAUGUUGUGAGUGCGUGUCAUAAAUGUGCAUCGUAAGGUUAGGACACACAAAUGUAUGUCGUCUUCCUUUAUGACAGGGACUUCAUUGACAUGCAUUUGUGUGUCGUCUGUACCUUUUAUGACAUGCAAUGCGUGUCAUUAAAGAGUAUUUUUCUAGUAGUGAAAGGAAAAUAAUUUAUGUCGAUUAAAAGGUAAACCAUAACUUGCAAGGUCCAGUUCAUCCUUUAUUAUCUUUAAGAAUUUAGAUGGUUCUGCUUAUUUGUUACUCAACUUCAUAUUUGAAAACUUCAAAAGGUCUCACGUUUAUCAUUUAUCAUAUAAAAUAUAAUUACGACAACUAUAGUUAUUUAUUAAGUUAAUAAGGUAUCAUGUAUUAAAUCAAGACCUUCAUUAGAAAGGAAGUUAAACAUCACAGUGUAUAGUUUCUUACUAAUUAUUUUCUCUACUAUAUAGUGAGAAUAUCUUUAUUAAUAUUUUAUAUAUAAAUAAGUCUGUUAAAUAAUUCAUAUUUAUUUUCCAUCAAAAGUCCAUUAUCUUGACGUGGGAAUAUGUGUAUUUUAUUUAUAUAAUAAAGAUAACAAUGGAUAAGUUUGAUUCAAAUCAUAUUUAAGUGUAGGUGUUUUCUUAUAGAACUUAUAUUUAUAAAAUAUUGAUAUUUACUUUAUAACUCCAUUAAGAGAUCUAAUUCUUGAAAUAAGAAUUAAUCAUUACAGAAUAUAAAUGUGAUCGUUAUGAAAAACGAUUAAGUAAUAGUGAAUCAUCUAAUCAAAUAACUAAGACAUAUAUUUAGACAAGCUAAAUUCAAACAUACAUUGUUUAAAACAAAUAUCAUUUUACAAUACAGGUACUUUAUGAUCAGAACAUAAAUAAUGAAGUCUAAGAGUGAAGUUCCAACUUGCUUGUUCUCAGCUGCUUACUCUUCUUGAAUAUCAGUAGACAUUUAACAAUAUUAGAUUAACAUUAAGUAUCAAAUACUUGUGUGAUAAUUGAAAAGUGUAAGUUCUAUCUUAUAGAUACCUCAAGUGCACACAGUGGUCAUAGAACACUCUUCUCUCAUCUCACUUGAUCUUGAAACAUUUCAUUCAAGAGAGCAAUCAUGUCAUGUGGUGAAAGAUAUUACAAUCCUCUCUGAUAGCGUAGAAACAUAGAUUCAAACAUAAUACAUGCUACAUCGACUAUGUGAUAUCCCCAAAAUCUCGGCCAGAAAAGACCGAUUUUCAUUUAUGCUUUUAAAAUAAUUUCAGAGUAAAUCCUUUUGAUUUGAAAGAGUUGUGGAAUUUGUUCCCAAAAACAAAACGUGAUAAAACAAUGUUUACCUAAGCAUUUCAUAAAAGAAAUGUAUUUUCAUUAUAUAAUCAAAACUCGGGAUGUCAUGUUCCGAUACAGACCAUAAAGCAUAAACGAUAACAUUACAAGUCAUUCAACAAAUAUAUACAAAUACAGACUUGUAAACAAAACAACUUGAUGGUUCAUCCAUCUUAUGCCCUUGCGCCACUUCCUGUAAUACAAAUAAAUUGAGUGGGUCAGGCUUGGGAGCCUGGUGAGCAUAUAGGGUUUUCAACCCACAAUAAAUAAUUAUAUUUAAUUUCCACCAACCAACAAUAACCCAAUUACCCAUUCCCGUUAUUCUCACUUUACGUCCCUAAGACAACUAACAUAAGGGACCUAGUCUAAGAAUAUUUCAUCGGGGCGACAACACAUGCUUCGGGGGUUCCUCAGCAAUAUAAGUCAAAUAAGGCAACCAUGAGGGGGAUGGAGUACAGCGAAUGAACACCCAAGUUCAUUAACACCUACAGGUUAUGAGCCUGCUAGCGUUCCACUGGACUGUCUAGAAAAGUCCGUGGUCGUCAUCUAAAUUCCGCUAGAUGACUGGAUCAAAACAACAUCGAGGCCUCUCAUCUGUUUAUUACACACCAACUAUCUACCCAUGUUCUACCCAACAUAUUAGUAGAUAAAAUAUACAUUUUUAUACAUAGUUUUAAAACCUGUAUAGCAUGCUCAAUCAAUACAUUUUCCACAUAACAGAUGAGGCACACACACAUAACACGUAUUUCAUAGAGAAUAAAUCAGAUCUAUAAGAUAGAAGAAAGUGAAUAUACAUUCACACAUAUAACAACAAAAUAUACACAUAACACGUAUUUUGUAUAAAAUACUUCAUAAUUAUGCGUUAGAAGAAAGUAACUACACACUCACUUGAUCAGAAGAUGAUCGGACAACACUACGACUUGUAGAAGUAGUAUUCUUCGGCAGAUCUGGAAGAUCUUCACAAAAACCGGACUCCUCGCGGGCAGAGCUUCGGCUCGGGAAUCUUACUUCUCGGGAUCUUCGGGACCUCGGGACUUGCUUCGGGGCUCGGGAAUGAUACCGGGGCUUCGGGAUAAUUCUUGCACGAAAAACGAUGCAAAAACGCGAGAAAAAGGGAAGAAAUGAGCAAACAACUCGGUUGCCCUCGACCUCCUUUUAUAGGGGCUGGAACUUCAAAUUACGCUGGGCGUAAUAUGAAAUUACGCUGGGCGUAAUGACGAUAAGGUCGCUGACUCCCCCAAGGAUAAUAUCGGUUAAUAUAUAUUUAAAUUAAAUAUCGAAAAUAUUUAAUAAACUUCAAAAAUUCAUAUCUUCCUCAUACGAACUCCGUUUUCGACGUUCUUUAUAUCCACGCGUAGGUGAGACUACGAUCUACAACUUUCGUUUAGACUCCGUCGGCUAAUUUUGACUUUAUUUUUAUUAUUUAUUUUUAGUAGGCCGGGACAGGAAAACUCCGUUAUAAAAUCAUAACUUCUUCAUCCGACGUCCGUUUUCGCCUAUCUUUUUAUCGUUUUACUACAAUUAACGAGAUCUUCGAUUCUCAUUUAGAUUGUUUCGGCUAAAAACCGCUCGGUCUCAAAUCGAGUAUUCGGGCUGCAUACCGCUAAGUCGAAACUUCGAAAAAUCAUAACUUCCUCAUACGAAGUCAGAUUUGGGCGUUCUUUUUAUGCACGCUCUCGGUUUAACGAACUCUACGACUUUCGUUUAGAUAACUAAGGCUAAAUAUUGCUCUAACGUAAAUUUCACUUUUUACGUCAUUCAGCGUUGUCGGUUCUGUCGCGAAACUUCGACAGGUCAUAACUUCUUCGUUAUAUCUCGGAUUUCGGCAUUCUUUAUAUCUUCGAAAUCCUUGUUUCGACCACUACAUCUUUAUGCAAAGAUAUUGGGCUUAUCUCACACUUCAAUUUUGACGCUUAGUUUUAUCAUUUAUUAAUUAUAUCUUUAUAAUUAAGUAAUAAGCACACAAAUACACAUAAUUCACAUAAUACUCAAAUAUUUCAUCAUUAAUACUCCAAAAAGAGUUACAAGGAUUAACCUAGACUAUUACAUCAAUGAUAAUGCCUAGCCUGGAAACGCGGGCGUUACAGACUAAAUCAUCAAAAUGUUUCAACCAUGUUUUAUGGCCAUCUAUAGAUGUGAGAGUGUGUUCUUUGAAAAGUUGGUGGACAAGAAAUUGCAAAUUCUUUUCGCGACUGAGAAACUUUCUCAACCUUGAUGCCAAGAGAUGAUGCUCAUAAUGAAAAGUUUUUCCUUCUUACGAAUGAAACGUUGGUUAUAGAUUUUCAGGAUGUUUUCUUUUUUAUCCAUCGGCAAAAUUUUAACAAAAUUUAUUUAGUACUUUUCAAUAUUUAAAACUUCAAUAAUUAAUUCCUUUUAAGUUUCUAAAACAUUAGGUAUCAAAAUCUAGGAUCAAAGUUACAAAACAGAUAAAUGGUUAGGUAUCCUUCAUCUCAUUUAUUUAAUUUAACUAGCUAGAUAUCAAGUAUAAAUUAUAUUUUAAUAUAUAAUUCCUAGCAUUAUGGGAUCGCAAACAACUUUUGUAAAUGAAAUGUUUGAUCUCAUUUAUGUCUCAUAUCUCUCUUGCUUAGGUAUCUUUUUUCACAAAGGAUUUCGGAUCAAAUCAUCCAAAUUGAAAGCCAUGUAAAACAGACACAUAAAUAGUAGUUAGGUAACCUUUAUCCCACUAGAAAAUCCGGAACUACCUUAACCAUCAAGAGAUAAAACAAGUGGUAAGGUGACCUUUUUCCCACAAGCUUAUACAAGUGUUGUUGCUUAUACAAGUAUUGUUUGAGUGUAUCCAAAGUGGACGACAUAUACUUGCAAUUAUAAGGGGUCUAUGUAUGUUUUUAUAAUUCCAGUUUAAGAAAUAUAUGAUAUCAUGAUUAUUGCAUGCAUCCAAUAAGUCAUGGUGCCCUUUGAUUAAAAUCACAUUUUAUAGCAAUGUCCUUUUAUAUAAUCCAAUUUAAUAUAAUUGACGUGAUCGAAUUUUAAAUAUAAUAUUUCGUAUUAAGUUUUAACAUUUGAGCGCUAAGUAACAUUAUAAACCUUUUAACAAAACUUCCAUUUAUAAUAUAAGGUUUGGAAUUUGACAAGUUUCUAAAAUCCCAAUUUUAAACUUAUAAAAUUUUAAUCGUGGAAAUUUUUCGUUAGCUAGUUUUAAACGAGUAUCUCAUUUUAUUUUUAAAACCUUUUUACCAUCUUAUGUUAAAACACAAAUUUCAUUAAAACCAAACUCCAUGUGAUCAUUUUAUGUUUAAAAAAUUUUGUAGCAUUUUAAAAUGUAAUUUUACAAACAUGCAUAAUAUACCAUAAAAUCAAACAUUACAAAGCAUAAAAAAUAUGUGCACAAACAAACCAUAAACUAAUGACAUUUUAUGAGCCAUCACAAAAAUGCUUGUUCCAUUUCUAAGGGAUAUAAAGGGACCAAAUUCCCUUAUGAUGUCUUCAUGCCCCUAUUUGCUUAACAUCUUCUAGAAAGUUCAUAAAUAUAAUUUUAUAAACUUUAUAAAACUUUAAUAAAACUAAGUGCAUGAACUUCUGAUAUUUGAAAUGGUCACCAUCUUCAUUUUUUGUUAUAUUUUUAUAAAAAUUAACUAUUCUAAAUAAUCAUUACCCACAAAAUUAAAAAAAAAAACGAAAAAUAUAUAUUUAACUAUAACAUACCAUAUAAAUAAAUAAAUAUUACAAUCAUUUUAACAAAUCAACACAAGUAAUAUCACAGAUAUUCAAUGACUAGUUUAUGUACAUCAUAUACAUAUAUAUAUAUAUAUAUAUAUAUNUAUAUAUAUAUAUAUAAAAAACACAACACUUUGUUUUUCUAAUACAACUUUUAUGACUAAAAAGAUGCAUGUAAGCUUCUAGUCAUAAAAAUAACAAUUACAAAUAUUUUAAAGUUUUCAUAGAAAAUAUGUAUGAAAUUUUGUUAUAAAAAUAAAAGCAUCCGUGUUUUCUAAAAAAAUGUAUGCCAAAUAAUCUAAUAAUCUAUUCAAGCUUGCAAAAAAUAAAUCUGAUACCAAUUGUUGCGUUUUAUUCAAAAACGUUUUCAAAAAAACGCUAAAAGCAGCAAGGGAAGCAUUAAAACUUAAAUAAUUAUAAAACAGUUUCAUACCCACCAAGAAUCAUUUUGAAAUCAUGGAAUGAUUAAAAUAACAAUAGAAGGAAAAAUAACUACAACCUUUAAAGACUUUGAAUCCUCAGGAGGUUGGAAGUUGAUGAAGAUGACAAAGACUCAAAGUAGAGCUUCUCUACAAGUAUCAACCAAUAAUUACCAACUUGACUUUGAUGCUAGUCCUUCUUGUAAAUUAAGUUCUUAAUCCUUUAAGAACAAAAGCCUAUCUUUUUUCUUAAAGGAGAGUUUAAAAGUAUCAAUCUUUUUACAAGUCUUAACCUUUUAAGAGAGAAAUGAGAAGAGAGGAAUGGGGAUAUGGUUUUUCUCUCGCCAAAAGCAACCUCAUGAAAUAAAACCGUUCUCUUAUUUAUGUGUAUAUUAUGUCUUAACUCUUUUAAGACUCCAUAUUCUUUUAUGACAAGUUAUAGAACACCUUUACAAGUAUGGCAUGUCAUAUAAUGGACAAAGAAGCAAGAAACCAUUUGUUCCCACCCUUAGUGUGUCCUCUGUUUGUAAAAAGAAAAUAGAGAAGGUGUGUGUGAUGAGAAAGAGUAACACUCUUUCAAAUUUUAUAAAUCUAGUUUAUUAUUAUUAAAAACCAAAUCCCUUUUAGUUUAUAUAAAAACAUAUGACCUUUAUAAAUCAUACCAUGUGACUUUAUUUGAUACUUAUUAUAGAAAAUUAUUAUUUUCAUAAAAUACUCAUUUUCCAAUUAAUUACAAGAAAUAUAAAUAUUUAUCAAGAAUCAAAUUCUUAUAAAUAUUUAGUUUACGUCAAAUUAUUAUUAGUGUGUCCCUAUGUGAUCAUAUGUUAUUAGAAAAUAUCAUUAUUUAAUGACUCUUGGGCAUAUAAAUCUUUCAACAACAUACAUCAUAGAUGUUCGUUUGUAGUUUUGACGGUGAUUUGGCAUUUUCUAACCAUAUGCUUUCUUAAAUCCUAUUUCAAGGAUCUUUAUUUAUUUAUUUUUUUGAGUUUGUUCUUAUGUUUUUAAUGUUAUCUAGUUAAUCAUCAUAUUGUUAUCCAAUCAAUGGAUAGUUAAAUUCCAUCUCCAAUGAUGGAGUUUAGGUGAUAUGAACCUUAAUCAUAUGUUUGAGUUGUAUAUUGUACUCUAGCCUCUAGUCAUAGAAUUAAGUUCAAAAUUAGAUUUAAUGAGAUUAUCGGUGUAAUAUCCCGAUUUUCAAUACAAAUUUUUUAUUUUUAUUUAUUCAAAUAUACCAGAGUAUAAUUACAUUAUGCAGAAAACAUGAUGUGAAUGUGCAUGUGUAUAGUCGAGCCUUGCCCUUCUCACCAACCGAGAAAGUACCCGCCAACAUUUAUAAUCAAGUGGGUAAGCACAAAGCUUAUUGAGUUCCCCAAAAUACCAUAUACCACAAUAUAUAUACAAUGUAUACACAUAAUGGCUAACGAACUUUCGCCGAUCCACCAAUAAUACAAAUAAUGGCCUUGAACAUAAAGUUGGUCCGCCCCUUUGCCUUCAGCAUAAAGUUGGUCUGCUCCUUGGCCUUCAAAAUAAAGUUGGUCCACCCAAGUAUAUUGGCCUUCACCAUGAAGCUAGUCUGACCUGAACUCCCCACAUAAUAUAUAAAUACAUAUAUAGCAAAAAAAGAAUUCAACAUACAUGCAAUGAACUAAACUAGCUUAGUGACAUGAGUGCAUAUUAUAGAGCAACUACAUCCUAACAUACUGAGGACACAUACUAAAGUAUACAGUAUAGUGUGAAAACUCACUAAGACAAUUACUCUGACGAUUGUCAGUUAUCCUUCGGUAACACAACUAUCAAGUAUUAACAUAUAAUACUAUAACUUAUUAAUAUAUAUAUAUAUAUANNNNNNNNNNNNNNNNNNNNNNNNNNNNNNNNNNNNNNNNNNNNNNNNNNNNNNNUAAGAUUCUGCACAAAUUCCAAAUAUAUUUUCAUGGCUAUCAAAUAAGGAUCAGUCGGGCAGGACAUAUGGGAGACAAGACCAUUUUGACAUAUUGCUUUCCUGAAAUACAACAACCAAGACAACGUGCCUAUUCUAGACACCUUUCCUGUAAGUAGACCAAUCAUAAUACUUAACUAGAACUAAUGACUAAUUAGAUACUUAUAGGUUCCUAAUAACAACUAUAACAUAAUUCUAUGAAAAUUACAAUGUAAGAGACCAUGUAAAAUUCAUAACUUCUUCAUACAAACUAUGUUCUCAAUGUUAUUUUUAUCGACGGAUUGGUACAUACAAGAUCUUCAACUGUCGUUUACAUUGUUUUGGUUAACACUCAACCGAUCUUAAUUAUCGAUUUCAGUGUCGCGCACUACCGUACGAAAACUUCAAAAAAUCAUAACUUCCUCAUACGAAGUCAAAUUUACGCGUUCUUUAUAUGCAUGAUUUCGCUUUUAAGACUACCAAAAAUUUUGUUUCCAUUACUUAAGCUAAUAAGCAACCUCUCACCGAUUUACCUUUUGAGCCAUGUUUUUGGCAUAUAGGGUUGAACACGAAACUUCGAAGAAUCAUAAGUUCUUCAUAUGAAGACAGAUUUAAGUGUUCUCUAUAUCUCUCUCUCUCUCUAUAUAUAUAUAUAUAUAUAUAUAUAUANUAUAUAUAUAUAUAUAUAUAUACACACAAAAAAAUCUUAUUGACGUCUACUACACGUUUAUGAUGAUUAUUUUGUCUAAAAAGUAAUAUAUUUCUACUUCAUAUUUUAUAAACAAACAUUUUAUAUUAAAUCCUACUGAAGGGUGAAAACAGGGUGUUACAAUUGCAUUAUUCCAUGAAAGAAUUGUAAAGUAAUUAGUGAUUCUAAUGGAAAUUCUCCAUUAGGAUGGUGUAAAUGUGUUAAAAUCAAUUCGUAUAAAAAAAGAACCUUUUGUAAACACUUAAAAAAGAUAAACAAUUUCAAAAAAUGAAGUAUUAGGAGUUUUAAAAGUUAUUUGAUGAUUUAAACGAAUUUAUAAAGGUUUUUAUAAAAAAAAUCCCCACAACUUCAGAAUUGCAAUGUGAAACAUAUGUUAAGGAUGGAAUCACCAACUCCAAACUUUUAAUACUUGUGUUAUUGAGUCAUUAUGAUGUUUAUUAAGUGUUUGAAGCUCACUUAGAGCUAAUUAGUUAGUUGGAAUGGAGAUGAACCAAGUUAGAAGCUAUUAAGAGCUUUUGAGCAAAAAUUGGUGUUUGAUGCAUACAUGUACUUCUUUAUAUCUCUUAUGAAAUUAAAUUGACUUAAUCAUUAAUUCAUUGUGAUUACAGGAAUUAAGUGAUAUAAAAAUAAUGUUAUUUGAACUUAUUUAAGCCAUAUAUGAAAUUUGUAGAGCAAAGUACACUGUUUAAAUUAUAAAAUUGUUUUCUAGAAUGAGCUAUUUGUUAUAUGGCCCUGUAAUCUCAAGGAAAAAUAUUACACGGUCGUGUAAUGAACUAUACGUUCCUAAAAGAUUUCAAAACCUUAACCACUUAGCUUUUGACCUUCACUUGUUUCAAACUUCCAUACAAGGUUAAAACAAGUUGAUUAGGAGGUAUUUUGGUAAUUUUUCAAGAUAAUAAAUCGUUUCUUUCAAAAUAACAUUUCCUUGUAUCACAAAUCAUUUCCAAAACCAUUUCAUAAUAGUGGUGAUAUAGUUAAGAGAUUUGGAUAAGUGCGUCAAAUAAUCAUGCAAAUGCAUAUGAAACUAACCGAAACUUAAUCCAUUAUUCUCAUAUAAGUCUCUUUCAACUAGGGCCUUAGUGGCCUAGAUUAGGUAGUAGCACAACACUAAACCUAUUGUCGACCAUUAAGGUCAAAAUUUUAGGAAAUUUAUGAACAUCCCAUGAAUGAACAAGGAAUGGGUUGGGAUAUUACAUCACCAUUACCUCUAAGGUCAAAUAAUGUAGUUGAUCCCUUUAUGUUCCCGAACACUCACAACUCAGCUCAUCUUAGCAUGCAAUGCACAAGUAGGAUGCUAUAAAAGUUUACUCAGUACCAAAGAACCAAUUUAUUUUAUCCAAAAUCAUUUUUCAUGCUAUGCACAAAAUGUCAUAAGGCCACAUAACGAUAAAGGUAUAUAUAUAUAUAUAUCAUACUCAAAACAUUUCAAAUAAGUGAUAAGAUACAUAUAUUAUGGGUAUGUACUCACCUCAAUAGCUUAUGAUGCUACUACCUGAUCUAGGCUACUAAGGCCCUAGUUGAAAGAGACUUAUAUGAGAAUAAUGGAUUAGGUUUCAGUUAGUUUAAUAUGCAUUUUCACGAUUGUUUGAUGCACUUGUCCAAAACUCUUAACUAUAUCACUAUUAUUAUGAAAUGAUUUUGAAAGUGAUUUGUGACACAAGGAAAUGUUAUUUUCAAAGAAACGAUUUAUUAUCUUGAAUCUUUUUUUUUCAAAUGUUUCUUUUUGAAAUCUAGAUUUGGAAAUUAGGUUAAUUCCAUACCCAUUUUCAUUCUGUAGUCGAAUUCAGGUAUGACUUAAUAGGCUCUCCAAGCUUAACAUAUUAUUUUAACAUGUACUUGUAGGUCUUUGGUUUAGCUUUUUGGAUAUUUAGACGGCCAUGACAUGUAUGGUUCAAUUUAUACUAUUUUCAUGAUAUUAGAUGUAACUCUAUCAUACUUCAGAUUGACUAAAAUUUGUGUUUUAUGUUUUGGGACCACACUCUAAAUAUCUUCGUAUAUUUUUUUUUGUUUAAAAGAGUGGUUUUCAAAAAAAAAUUUGAAUAUUGUAUUUAAACGAAGACUUUCCCCAUACUCAAAGAUGUUUUUGUCUCUUCCAUAACAUCAAUGUGUGGAUAAAAGUUAAAUCAAGAUAAUAGCAUAGAAAAGAAAUGACUUCAUUUUCUUCUCCAACAACAUAAAUUAGUUCUUAAUUUUAUGAGGCAAUAAUAGAUAGAUAAAUGAAGAUGAACAACAUUUUAUUUGGGUAGGUUGAAUCAACACUUGAAAAAUAAGAAAAAUUCACCAUAAAAUUUUCCUUUCACUAUAUCACUAUACAUAUGAAAGAACAGAAUCUUCCUUUACAUAAUGAAAUAUUCUAAGCUAACUAUCAUUUAUCAUUUUGGAACAUUUUUUCUCCAAUAAUGAUAGACAAUUUCAUAUAUCUAACAUUUAGGGUAUUGUUGGUACUAUGUUUGACAAUGACGAUGGAGUAUUAUUCGUCUACAAUGAAUUACGUUGGAGGAGUUAUGUGAUGGUAGAAUGAAAACGGAUGGUGAUGCGACAAUUGGGGAUAGAGAUGAGGAUGAGGUUGAAAAUGAAAAUUAAAAUUAGGACGACGAUGGUCUUAUUUAAACAUGUUUUAAACGUUAGGGUCUAAUUUAAAAAUUUUGAACUCUAGGCGAUCAUAAUACAUAAGAUAGAGCGGCCUAAUGUCUAAAUGAAUACAUUUACAAAAAUUUGAAAUCUAACUUAAUACUUUUUAAGCUUUCAAGACUAAAUGGUGACAUUACUACUGAAUCAUUAAUCCAAAUAUAGCUCAUUACAAAACCAAACCUAAAAUUUUUUAGGUUACAUUGCAUAUUAAUUUAUAUAUAGAUUAAUUUUGAGUUCCUUUAGGAACAGUGAAGUUUUGCUGGUUAGGACUUUAGCUACAGAAGUUUUGAAUAUUGACAGUUUACCUCCUUUGGCUUUUGGUAAUAUCAUUUUUGCCAUAAAGAUUUUAAUAUUCGCUUUUGCCCCGAUAUUUUGCCUCAACAUUUGACUGGAUGUGUCGGUGUGGUGGACACAUGUUAUUCCAUGUGUUCUUCACUGGCUCACGUCCUAUACCUCCAUUGUGGUUAGUUAAUCCGUAUUGACUCUAGAUGCUUCCCACCGCCUCUUAACCCACUAAAAUAAUCUCAUUCUUCCACCGUUCCUUCCAGUAUUCUCUUAUUUUCUCCCAAACAAAUUCAUUCCUUAAAUAAGCCUCUCCACAUGUUGGUCAUCCUCGAACAACUGUUUAGUGUUUCUCUAGGUUUUUUCGGUUAUUUCCGGUGAAGUCAACAACUCGAUGACCAAUGUCUCUCAUCAUCUUUGCAUGUGUACAAUUGGUGAGUUAAAAUUAUGCAAUACAAGCCAUUUAUUUUUAUUUUUCUGUAUCCUUCGAUCCAGGUAAAUCGAACAUACAAUUGUUCAAUACCUUUUAAACAAACAGGAGCCAAUUUUUCUUUCUAUUUGGACUCAUUCUAAUUGCAUGCCCUACUAACCUCUCUAUCUGCCAUUCUAGUGAUUCCUUUGAUUAAAAUCAUGUUUUCCUUCAUGUUCAUCGUUUUCAGUUGAAUCUUGUGAUUUCUUUGAUUAAAAUCAUGUUUUCCUUCAUGUUCAUCGUUUUCAGUUGAAUCUUGUGAUUUCUUUGAUUAAAAUCAUGUUUUCCUUCGUGUUCAUCGUUUUCAGUUGAAGAUUAGGUUUUCCUGAUUGGCUUCUAAUAAAACUCAAAGAUGGACCGGUGACUCUUGUGACAACCUGAAAAUUUUUGCUUUAUAAGUAAAGUCAACCUUAAGUCAGACUCGCUCCUACUAUCUUUUAGCACUGUUUAGAGUCUGUUUGAGUGUUUUAAGCCUAGUACAUUCAAGGAAUGAGUGUUAGGAAGUCCUUUUAGAUUCAUUGUACAACAUUUAAGCCCUAAACUGUAUCAUGUGGAGUUUACGGCCGUAAACAUGGAGUUUACGGCCGUAAACUCAACCAUGGUCGUAAACCCCUCUUAUAUAUAUAAGAGGGCACUUCAUUUCUUCAUUCUUUUCUUUCCUUGGCCGAAAUCUCCUCAAACACUCUCAAGUAUCAUCAAUUCCAUCAUCCAAAUCCUCCAAAAAUGUAAGUGUUCUUCCAUCUAGUUGUUGUUAUCCUUCUUAAACAUGUAUCAUUCUUUGAUUCAUCCAUGAAAACACCCCUUUUUGUCUAGAUCUUCAAAUCUUCAUCUUUCACCAAGAACACCAAGAACACAUACGUGCUCUUGGUGGCCGAAAACACCUUCUAAGGCUUCUAAAUUGUGAGUAUUCCUUCCAUACACUUGUUAUCUAGUAGAAUCAUUAGCCUAAAUACCUAGAUCAAACAAUUGGUGGAUGAUUCCCAGGAGUUUAUGUCCGUAAACUCAUGUGGCCGUGAACCCCCGGGCCGUGAACACUCUGACCGUAAACUCCCUGAUUGUAAACUCUAGGGCCGUGAACACCCUUGUGUGGUUGUACACUCCCCUUAGAUGAAUCACAUGUGAUUCUAACACUUGGUUCAAGUGUUUCCUAGUCCUUAAAGGCGUUUCCUUGCAUGUGGCUGCUUCUAAACACUAUAUUCAUGCCAUUAUAUGUCAUUUAGGACUCGUAUGUGCCUCGGGACUUCACUAGUGGAGCUUCUCAUCCUUAGAAACAUAUUCGUUUGAAUCACCCACAUCAGGUGAGUUCAUACCCUGUAAUGAAUCUUUUAACUAUUUUAAAUGCUUUGAAGGGGGGAUACAAGUUGAACACAAUGAUAAUUGUGUAAAUGUUUGUUAUAAACAUCUUUCAAAAGAUUGUUUUUGUAGUUUAUAAUUGAUCAAAACAUUUCAAAAACUCUUUUAAAGUUAUGUUACUUUUAGGAUAACAAAACUCCAUUCUUAAAGUACAACCAUAACUUAGUAGUAAAAUGAGUCUUUUUGAUAACAGUUCAAGUAAAACACUAGUAAGCUAUAAGGGGUACAGUUUAGAGGUUCAUUUCUUACUAGAUACAAUACACGAUAACAUAAGAGAUCACACAAUAAAGAGAAAU
RNAcentral lists this long non-coding RNA (70061 nucleotides) under Lactuca sativa (garden lettuce). Its description in RNAcentral is "long non-coding RNA (LSAT_LNC007580)". The record is from RNAcentral. Lineage: Eukaryota; Viridiplantae; Streptophyta; Magnoliopsida; Asterales; Asteraceae.